UUUUUUUUUUUUUUGGUCGAACACUAGUCCACUAGUUUGUGUAGUUCAUAUUAGUGUGGGUAGAUUUUUUCAAGUUUCUUUGAUAAGUACUCGAUACGGCAACUUUGAGGAUUUAGCGUUAGUGCCCUUGAUAGAGAAACUUAAUAAUUCAUCACAUCAAUCUAAUGUUCAUUUGGAGUUUUUAGUGUGCGUUUGUUCUACAAAAAAUAAAUAAUUUGAAAAAUAUUCUUUUAAAAAUAAUUAUUUAUGUUGCUUACUAAAAUUAAUAAAAGAAGAAAAUAUUCAUCAUCUAUGAAAAUAUUUAAAUAUAAAUUAUAAUUGACUUAAUAAAAAAUAUUUUUUAAGAAAAUAAAUAAUUAAUAAAAAAUAUUUUCAUUGUUUUAUAUCUAAAUAUUUUAUUUAUCCAAAGUGAGCAAGAUCUUGACCCGAUUCGGCUUGGCUUGACUUGGCUGGGCUUUUCUAUCGAUAAGAGAAGUAGAAAAGAAGAUCGAAGGGCAAUUAUUGCCCAAGUGAUUUCCACUGCAUUUUGCAGAAGGUACAAGUGAUGCUUCGAUGGAAAUUUGAGAUCUAGCUCACUUGACUAGACUUGUAUUUUCUAUCAAUAAAAAAAUAUAGAAAAGAAAAUUAACGAGCAAUACUCGUUACAGGUCUCUAUCAUUAGCAAUUGGAUAAUAUGAGCUAACUAUACUACAAUAUCACGACCUUGACCAAUCACACUAUUAAAAUAUAUUAUCAUGACCAAAUGAUGAUCAAUACUUUGCCUCAAUUUACAAACGAAAAAAAGAAAAAAGACAUUAUGAUACGAUGGACAUUGUAGUUUAUGAUGAUGACAUUGUACUGAUUACAUGUUUCGUUAUGGAAAAAAAUAAACAAGAUGAUGCAUAUAACAAUAAUAAUUACAUUGUUAAAGAGAAAACGAAAUAUAUUUUAAGGAAGAAUAUGGAAUGCAACUUUCUUGCAUGGUGGAGCACAUUUAUUUUUCCUAAUGACGCUUUCUAAUAAUUUGUGGGCGUGGUUGAUGGGUAAAUCCCUCCUUGAGGAAAAAAGAAAUUGAAAUCCUAAUUAUCUACGAGGAGAAAAGUUCGUCUCUUAUUUAAGUUGUCUACACAAAUGAUAAAUAUUGGUUUAGACUCUUUUGAGGAUCAAGAAGUAUAGCAAGAAAGGAUGAAAUUAGUGAGGUCCUGGAUUUUUACUUGCUUGGGAGGUAAAUUAUCUAGAGGAAAUGAACGAAACUUCUAUUAUUUGAAUAAAUAAUGAAAAUCGGUAGGAUUUCCUCAUCAUUUGAAAAUAUAUGUGAAUAAGUCAGUAAUUUUUUUUUGUAAAUGAAAGAUUGAUGAAAGAAAAAAGGACAAAUUUCUAAUUCUCCUUUUCGGUGCAACCCAUCGUCAAAGCUAUGAGCCAAUCAGCAAACCAUCGUCAUGAAAUGCUAUUGCAAUCUAUUUUCUUUUUAUUUAUUUAUUAAAUUUAGUUGGUGGAGAAUAUGCACCUUCUGCAUGAUACGGCGGAAAUAUUAAUCCAACGAGCGGAUGUUUUUUCGAUUGACUCGUGUACAAUAGUGCCGGGGGCACGGGAGCAUUGCUAUGCUGGUUAGUUUUCUUUUCUAUUUUUCUUAUUAACAGAAAAAAGCAAAGUCAAGUCAAGAACCACCAGCACAGGAUGGCUCCAUCCACCUUCUACAAACUGCUGUGGAAAUUACGCGUGCAGUGAUUGCCUGUGGAAAUUAGACGGUGGAGAUUCGAUCGUUGGUUUUCGUUUCUAUUUUCUUUAUUAGCAGAAAAGGCUUGUCAAGUCAAGAAGUGGUCCCUGUUACCUUCUGCAAAAAUGCAGUGGAAAUUAAUGAUUGCCCUUUGGUUUUCUUUUUUUUUUGUUGGUAAAAGUAAGAAAUCCUUUAGUUUAUUUAUUUAUUUAUUUCUCUUAUUGAUAUAAAAGGCAAGACAAGUCAAGUGAAAGUCUUGCUCGCUUUGAAAAAAAGAAAAAUAUAUAAAUAUAAAUUAUCAUUGAUAAGUAAAAUAUUUCUUAUUAAUUAAUUAUUUUAAAUGAUACAAAUAAUAAUUUUUAAGAAAAUAAUUCAAAUGAUAGUGCAAUCGGGUCCUUAAUGUGAGUGAAAAUAUUUUAAUUACAUUCGAUUAAGGAAUGUCAAAUUGAGAGUGCGGCAAAAAUUAAAGAACGUAAAUGAAAAGACAAAAUAUGAAUUCCCUCUCAACAGAUCCGUGGUAUCUUAGCGUUUUUGGUAGUAUUUCUUUAAUCACAAUCGGUCUUGGGCAAGGAUUUCUAGGCUCAAUUUGCCCAUUGAUCUUCUACUGUUUGAAAUUUGAUCAUGCAAAGUGUUUGGUGAGAUCAGUGAUGGAUUUUACUCACGUUAAGGUAAAGACAAAUUACCUUAUUCGAAAAAAAAAUGUUUGCAUAUUUGAAGACCACAACGUUUGAAACACACCUACAUAAUAUAUUAGGAUAUUAGAUUCCUAUGCAUAGAAUGAAAGACAUGAUCAGUCAACAGCCUAAAAAUACCACAAAACAUAUUAUAAAUGAAUUUUGAGCCUUAUCUUGUGAUAAUUGUGUCUCUCGUUUCAUUGGGUGUUCAAGAUUCCAUCCUUAUCUUUGGUCCAUCGUACGUGUUUCGCACUAGUCCACUAGUUUGUGUGGUUCAUAUUAGUGUGGGUAGAUUUUUUCAAGUUUCUUUGAUAAGUACUCGAUACGGCAACUUCAAGGAUUUAGCGUUAGGACCCUUGAUAGAGAAACUUAAUAAUUCAUCACACCAAUCUAAUGUUCGUUUGGAGUUUUUAGCGUGCGUUUGUUCUACAAAAAAUAAAUAAUUUUAAAAAUAAUUAUUUAUGUUGCUUACUAAAAUUAAUAAAAGAAGAAAAUAUUUAUCAUUUACGAAAAUAUUUAAAUAUAAAUUAUAAUUGACUUAAUAAAGAAUAUUUUCAAGAAAAUAUUUUUAAAAAAUAAAUAAUUAAUAAAAAAUAUUUUAAUUGUUAAUGAUAUUUUAUAUCUAAAUAUUUUAUUUAUCCAAAGUGAGCAAAAUCUUGACCCGAUUCCGCUUGACUUGACUUGACUGGGCUUUUCUAUGGAUAAGAGAAGUAGAAAAGAAGAUCGAAGGGCAAUUAUUGCCCGCGUGGUUUCCACUGCAUUUUGCAGAAGGUGCGGGGACCAUCCUAUGCUUUUUGACUUGACUUGCUUUUUCUACUAAUAAAUAAAUAGAAAUGAAAACCGACUAUUAAUUCUCACCAAAACUAACUUCCACGCGGGCGAUCGAUGUACGCACAAGAAAUUUGCAGGAGGUGCGUGGAACAAUCCCAUGCCAGUACUUCAUGACUUGACUUUGCUCUUUCCUGUUAAUAAGAGAAAUAGAAAAGAAAACUAACUAGCAGAGCAAUACUCCCGUGCUCCAAUGCCAAUAUACACGAGUCAAUCACGAAAACAUCACUCCCUGGAUUAUCACUUCCGCGGCAUAAUGCGAAAGGUGCGUAUUCUCUACCAACUAAUUUUAAUAAAUAAAUAAAUUAGAUUACAAGAGCCUUUAAUGAUAAUGAUAUACUUAUUGGCAUAUAAUUUUGAAGAAAAUACCUAUUUUAUCAGAAAAUCAGAAUACAAACCCUUAAAUUUGUACGUAGAGCCACGUCUUUUCUGCUCUUUAAUGGCUUUUGAAAAUUAGACGUGAAAAUUUUACUAAAAAUGGGAAUCGGAGGAGACUCCAGAUCCUAGUUUGAAUGGAGUCACGAGCAUAUUAGCACAUUUAUUAUAGUAACAAUUCUGAAGAAUUUACUAUAUGGAUAUUAUAUUAUGGAGAUAAUUAAAAAUUGAUUUAUAGUAACUAUGGGAAGAUUUUUUGGUCCUUGCUUGAGCAAGUUGGAUGAUUAUGACAAUCUUAUUUGCACAAUCAACAACUAAUCGAGUUUUUACAUUACGUUAAAUUCAUCUCGUGACAUAAACGAGAUAAUUUUAAUUAACCUUCUUUUUCCUUUUCACAGGCUCCCAAGGCCUUGUAGUUGGCCCCUCCUAAGUUGUUGGAAUCUUGGGUUCAUAUUUGGGAAUACAUGUUAAUACCACACUAUCUCGGCGCAAAUCUUGUGCAACAACACGUGAUCAAUUAAAUCCAUAGAUCUGAAGCUUUGAGCAAGUGCAUGUGAAGCUUUUAUUGAAAUUCGAGAUCCAACACACUUGACUGGACUUGCAUUUUUAAUUAAUAAUAAAACAUAGAAAAGAAAGUUAACGAGCAAUACUCGUUAUAGGUCACUGUCUUUAGUGAUUGGAUAGUAUAAACUAAGUAAACUACAAUGUCACGACCUUAACUAAUUACAUUGUCAUAAUAUGAACUAACUAUACCAAAUGGUUACUGUUUGUUUCCUAAGUAGAAUAACAUUUGUUAAGAUGUUUAAUACACUACCUCAAUUUACAAAACACAAAAUAAGACAUGUUAAUGUGGUGGGCAAUGUAGUUCAUGAGGACGACAGUGCACUGGUUAUGCGCUCCGUUAAAAUGAAAGAAAAUGUUGUUUGCUAAUAAGUAAUUUCCGUGGCAUUAUACGGAAGGUGUGGGGAACCUAUGCACGUGCCAACACGACUUGAUUAUAAAAUCGGGGCGUGGAAACUAUCUUUUACUAAUACUGGAGUGCCCAUGGGGCUUUCGUUUUCCUUCGUCUCUUCUGGCAACAGCUUCAUGGAUUGAUACAUUUGCAAUAAUAUUCCGAAACACUUGAGCGCUUGUUGGGUUUUGUCGUUUUUUAUCGCUCAUUUAUUUAUUAGAUAGGGUAUUUGUUACUGUCAUUGUUAUUAUAAUCACUUAAACAAUUUUACAUUUGAGUAUUACACUAAAUAUCUUAGCCAUUAGUAUGUGUAUAUAUCUUUAAUAAAGAAGGUACUGCAAAUGAAGCGAUCUUGAGGUAUUGUCCAACAUUUUAGCCAUUCUGCUUUGUUGGAAUGUAAGAGCUGUUCUCUCUCUUAAUAUUCAUGAUCCAAUAAAUAUAAAUCCUCCUCAUAUUAAUGAAAAAAAAUGGAGAAGAACAACUCAUACUCGUUAUAGUUGUUUAUCAUCGGUGAUUGGAUAUUAUGAACCAACUAUACUACAAAAUCAUGACCUAGACCAAUUAUUUUGCUAUAUAAUAUUGCAUCAUAACCAAUUGUUUUAUCCUAUGUAGAAUCUAUUUUGUUAGCAUCUUUAUGUACUGCCUCAAAUUACAAAUGGAAAAAAAAAGUGAUAAAUAGUGGAUAUUGUAGUUCACAAGUAUGACAUUUUACCGGUUAUGUGUUUCAUUAUGGAAAAAAUAAGCAAGUAUAUGCACAUAAUAAAGAUCAAAUAGCAAGGAGAAAGCAAAAUAAAGUUUAGGGAAGAAUAUGAAAUGCAAUUUCUUUCAUGUUAUAAAGUUCAUUUUUUCUCCUAAUGGUGCUUUUACUAAUUAGUGCAUGUGAUCAAUGGAUAAACCCCUCCCUGAAAAAAAAAUUGGAACAAAGGAUAUAAUAAGGGCAGAGGGAAUUUUAUAAAUUGUUUAUGUCAUCGAGAGAAAAGAUACAUGCUCAAAGUUUCUCGAGGAUUGAGAAGUGUAGCAACUAAUGAUGAAAUUAGUGAGGUGUUAGACUUUUACUAGCUUGAAAGUUAAAAUAUUUGAAAUAAAUGAUCUGACCUUCCAUUAUUAGAAAUAAAUAAAGGAAAUUUAUCUAUCUAGCUAGGGUUCCCUCUUCAUACCAAAAUAUAAUAUAAUUAUUAGUGAAUAUUUGUGCAAAGUCCAUAAUUACCUAUUACUCUAUCAAAAUGUGCAUUGCAGCUUUUAUAUUGUAUUUUAGCGUAUACUUCACAGUUAAAAUACAUCUAAAGUUACUACAGUUUAAAGUGUUACAAUUGUAAAAUAUACUUAUCAAACACAAAUAUUACAACACUCACAGUACAGUACAAUUACGUUUUAAUUACAGCUAUACCAAUGUAAUCGGGACGGGAAAAAAAAUUGAUUAGUCAUUUGUGUUGUCUAGAGGAAAUAUAUAUGUUCGCCCACUGCUGUGAUCUCCACCAAUCUUCAGCCUCCGACGUUGGAUACGCAAACCUCUCUACUAUGCGUGCUUGAUCAACGCUGAGCAACGUAGAACCGUGUGGAAGGUGUUUUGAUUUAAAGUGAGCACGACCUUACCUUGACUUGACUUGAAUUGCCUUUUUUUAUUAAUAAAGAAAUAGAGAAGAAAACCAAACGAUAAUCAUUGCACGCGUAAUUUCCGCAGCAUUUUGCGGAAGGCACGUGGAACCAUCCUAUGCAAGUACUUCUUGAUUUUUCUUUUUGGUCAGACAAGUGCUUCUUGACUUGACGUGCUUUUUUUCUAUUAAUAAAACAGAAGGAAAAGAAAGUAACCAGCAGGACUCCCGUGCUCCUGGUUCUAAUAGACAUGAGUCAAUCACAAAAACAUAUCAUGACAUGAAUGUCGGUAGGAUACUUUGUUAGGAUAUUCGAAUCAGUAAAGUUCAUUAUUUUCGAUCCAAAAUCUACUUUUUUUCUCUUUAAAAAGAGAUUCCUCCAGAAAAGCACAAAUGCUGAGUUGCCAUCCAAGGGUCUACGCGUGCUGCUUGGAAAGGAUAAUUAUUGCACGCAUAAUUUCCACAGCAUCGUGCGGAAGACUUGAUGCUUUUUCUAUUAAUAAAGAAAUAGAAACGAAAACCAAUGAUCAAUUCCAAUGCUCCGAGUGGGCAGUGCUUAUAAUGAACAUGGUUCAUCGGAUACGGAUCUAGGCAAGUAUUCCCUCCUCCUCCUCAUGGCAUUGCAGGAGGUAAGGAAUGAUGUUUGGAAUAAGUGAGUUCUAGUAGUUUCGGACUUAAAUGUGGACAAAUUUUGGAGGGUGCGAUGUUGCUGGUGUCGAAGAACAAUAAUUUAAGUCUCCAGUUUAAGAGGCUAUCUGGCAUCACUUCCUAUAGUAAUUUCCACCGUGAAAACGUGUAUUGCAACUUUAUAAUGUGUUUUGCUGAAUAAUUCAUAGCUGCAGCACCUCUAAACUUACAAUCGUUUUUAGGAAGGCGUCUCACCUAUGUUCAAGUGUUACAACUAUAAAAUAUGUUGUAUCAUCAAAAAAAAAAAUUGUGAAUUAAAAAAAGAAUUGCAACAAUUCACAAUAGAGCAGUUACGUUUCAAUUAUAGCUCUACCGAUGUACUCGGGACAGAAAAAAAAAAAUUAUCAGUCAUUUAUGUUGUCUAGAGGAAAUAUAAAUGUUCACCCACUACCGUGACCUUCACCGACUCUCAGCCUUCAACGUUGGAUACACGACACUCUAAAGUAUACGUGCUUGAACAAUGCUCAGCCCCGUAGCACUGUGCAGAAGGUGCGUAGAAGCGGCAUGGGCGUAUCGAUUGAAAUGGAGCACGACCUCAACUUGACUUUGCCUUUUCUGCCAAUAAAGAUAUAGAAAAGAAAAUCAAAGGGCAAUCAUUGCACGCGUAAUUUCCGCAGCAUCUUAUUAAGGUGCGUGGAACCAUCCUAUACAUGUGCUUCUUGACUUGACUUGCUUUUUUCUAUUAAUAAAAGAAAAAGAAAAGAAAAUUAACGAACAAUACUCCCCUGCUUUUGGUGCACAUAGACAUGAGACGAUCACAAAAACAUAAUAUGACAUAAAUGUCAGUAAGACACUUCGUUUAGACAUUCGAAUCAAGAAAGUUAAUUAUUUCCAAUCCAAAAUCUUACAUUUUUUUUUUCAAAGGAGAUUCCUCCAAAAAGAGCACAUGAUGUUGAGUUGCCAUCCAAUAGUUCGAGAUGCAUACUGCAUUAAAACGAUAAUUAUUACAAGUGUAAUUUCGGCGGCAUUAUGAGAAAGGUGCAUGUGCUUUUUGACUUGACUUGCUUUUUCUUAAUAAAGAAAUAAAAAACGAAAAACAACCGUCAAUUCUGACGCUUCGAGUCAAUAGGCAUAUUUUCGAUCAACUAAUUCAAUUAAAAAGCAGAUUGCGGUAACCCCUACUCACUCUUUGCAAGAUGGAUGUGCAAGGUCAAUGUCCGAUCAGACUUGAUAUCACGAAGGUCCCCUACUCAGGCAUGUUAGCGCCUAUAGUUAUGAAGAGGAGACCUAUUUAAUCAGAAAAUCGUAAGAUAGACCACUAAAUUCAUGCAUGGAGUCAUGUUGUUACAUGUUGUUUAAGGUCGAUUCAAGAUAUGAUGCGGAUAAUUUACCAGAGAUUGGAAUUAGGUGAGACCCUAUAUCCCAAAUUUGAAUGGAGCUACAAGUAAUUAGCACACAUAAUAUAUUAACGAGUCUUGAAGAAUCUAUAGUAUAUGAAUAUUGGAUUAUCAUGAUAAUUAAAAAUCGAUCGAUAGUAUAUAUGGGAAGGUUUGUUUGUCCUUACUUGGGCAAGUUGGAUGAUUAUGAUGAUAGUAUUUGCACAAUCAACAACUAGUUGAGUUGAUGCAUUAUGCUAAAUCCAUCUCAUUCUAUAAAUGAGAUGAUUCUAUUCGAUCAUUUUUUUUUUCCUUUUCAUAUACUCCCUUUACUCCAUAGUGGGUGGAACCAUGAGCGUUAAGGCCUUAUCACUUUUGCACAAACCUUAAAUAAUCCAAACUUCAUAAUUGGCAUCUUGCAAUAACAUGUGAACAAUGAAAUCCAUAGGUGUGAAACUUCUAGCAAGUGCAGUUGAAGCUUUGAUUGAAAUUGUAGUACAGCACGCUUGGCUUGAUUUGCUUUUUUAUUAAUAAAAGAAAAUAGAAAAGAAAACUAACGAUUGUACUCAAUAAAGUUGUUUGUAACUUAGUGAUUGGAAAUUGUGAACCAACUAAACGACAAUAUGAUGACUUAGACUUGCCUUUUCAUUUAAUACGAGUAUAGAAAAAGAAAACCAAAGGGGUAUCAUUGCAAGCGUAAUUUCAGUAGCAUUUUGCGGAAGGUGCGUGAAAACAUCCAACGUAGCUUCUUGACUUGACUUGCUUUUCUAUUAAUAAGAAAAAAAGAAAAAAAGAAGAAGAAGAGAAAGUAACUAGCAGUAUUCCCGUAGUUUUGGACUCCUGGUGAGAAUAUCCACGAAUCAAUCACAAAAAUAUCACUAGUUUGAUUAUUAUUUUCAAAGCACAAUCUGACUUUUUUCUUUCUAAAGAGACUAGGAAAAGGAAAUCCCGAAAUAAAUCUUCCUUGAUUCUCAAAAUUUUCUCCAUACCAUAUCAAGUCUAAAAAUUAUGUAGUCAUUAUCCCCUCACCUAAUGCAUUUUUAUAUCACUCCUUAAAUUAUUUUUAUUUUGGACAGUUUACAUAACUUUUAUACUUCAAUGCCACAUUUACAAUUUCUCUCCUAAUAGGUUAUUAGCAAUUGGACAAAUAUUAAGGGAUACAUUUUUCCUUUUCAUUCAUUUUUGUCGAACUUUUUAUCUCAUGUUGACACACUUUUUCUUCUUAACUGUUAAGUAAAGGUUAUCACUUAUUCAUCUAAAGGUGUUUGUCAUUAGUGAUUGGAUAUUAUGAACCGGUGAUAUUACAAUAACAUGACUUUGACGAAUUAUAUUGUUUUAUAGUAUUGCAUCAUCGGCAACUACUUUUAUUUUUUUUUCCUAAGUAGAGUCUUAAAAAAGAGAGAGAGAGAGACUUGUGCUAAUAUCGUGGACAUUGUAGCCCACAAAGAUGACUGUUUACUGGUUACGUGUUGCCUUGUGGACAUUGUAGCCCACAAGGAUGACUGUUUACUGGUUACGUGUUGCCUUGUGGAAGAACUAAACAAGCAUAUGCAUAAAGUAAAGAUUCGAUAGCAAAGAUAAAUAAUAUAUAUAUAUAUAUAUAUAUAUAUAUUUUUUUUUUCAGGGAAAAAUAUGAUUGCAAUUUUUUCACAUUGUAAAGCUUUUUUUUUUUUUUUUUGCCUAAUGAUGCAUUCAAUAAUUGGUGGGCUUGCUUGAUGGAUAAAUACCUCCCUGAAAAAAUUGAAAUCCAGUAUAUAAUUCGGGCAAAAAAAAAUGUCAAUUAUUUCUGCUAUUUAGAGAAAAGAUAAACGUUCGUCCAAAGUUUUUUAAGGAUUGAGAACUCUAGUAGCAAAGAUGGAAUUAGUGAGGUCCUAGACUUUUUACUUAUAUGGAAGGCAAAAUAUUUAGAGUGAAUGAACCAAAGAUUCAUUAUUAGAAUGAAUAAUGAAAAUUUGUCAACAUAGGUAAGGUUUCCUCUUCAUCCGUAACGAUAUGAAUGGGGUAGUCAUUUGUUUAGAUUGAAAAUGUCCAAGCAUUGAAAAAUGGAUUGGGCCUAUAUGUUCAGAGCCCAUAAUGCGCCAUCCAACUGUCCAAGACACAUGCUGCACGCAGAAGACGAUCAUUGCACGCCCAAUUUCCGCGGCAUUAUGCGGAAGGUCCGUAUUCUCCACUGACAAAUUUAAUAAUAGCAGAUUGCGAUAGCACCUACACAAAAUGAUAUGCGUAUUAGCAUGUAGUUGAGAAUAAAAGACCUAUUUUAUCAGAAAAUCAGAAGCCGGCCAUCAAAUUCAUGCGUAGAGCCACCUCCUUUCCACAGACGGGAACUGGGAGAGACUGUAACCCAAUUUGGAUGGAGCUACAACCAUGUUAGCACAUUUAAUAUAUUAGAAAUUCUGGAGAAUUUACAGUAAAUAAAUAUUGGAUUAUCGAGGCAAUUAAGAAUUGAUUGUUAGUAAAUAUAUCAAGAUUUAUUUUUUUUGUCCUCACUUCGGCAAGUUGGACAAUUAUGACGAUCUUUUUGCACAAUCAACAACUAAUUGAGUUACUAUGUUAUGUUAAAUCCAUCUCAUGAUGUAAACAAGAUGAUUUUGAUCUCACUUUUCUAAAUCUUUUCAGACUCACAAGGCAUUGUAGUUGGCUCCUCCGGAGCGUAUGGAUUUGGGUUGAUACUUGGGAAUACAUGUUAAUGUCAUACCAUCUCUGCACAAACCUUAAAUAAUCUGAACUUUACGAUUGACAUCUUAUGACAAAUGUGACUAAUGAAAUCCAUAGAUCUAAAGCUUCAAGCAACUGCAUGUGGAGUUUCGGUUAAAAUUUGAGAUACAACACACUUGACUAGUCUUGCAUUUUCUAUCAAUAACAAAAUAUAGUAAGAAAUUUAACAAGCAAUACUUGUUACAGAUCUUUGUCAUUAGUGAUUGGAUAGUAUCAUACUAUGAACUAACUAUAUUACGAUAUCACAACCUUGAACAAUAACACUGUAACCAAAUGAUUUUCGUUUAUUUCCUGAGUAAAAUAAAUUUUGUUGAGAUGUUUAAUACAAUACCUCAAUUUACAAACGAAAAAAGAAAAAGAAAAAAAGAAACGUAAUAAGACAUGAUAACACAGUGGACAUUGUAGGUUAUGAGGACGCCGAUGUAUUGUUUACACGCUUUGUUAUGAAAGAAAUAAAUAAGAAGAUGUACAUGAUAAUAAUGAUUACAUGGUGAAAGAUAAAAUGAAGUAUAUUUUAGGGAAGAAUAUGGAAUGUGACUUUCUUGCAUGGUAGAGUGUAUUUAUUUUUUACUAACGGUGCUUUUAGUAAUCGGUGGGCGUGCUUAAUGGAUCAAUCUCUCCAAGAGAAAUUUAAGAAAAAAGAAGAAGUUGACAUCCUAGAUGUAAUCUAGGCAAAGAAAAGUUUGUCAGUCAUCUAUAUUGUCUAGAUAAACGAUAAAUACUGAUUCAGACUCUUUUGAGAAUUAAAAAGUGUAGUAAGAAAGGAUGAAAUUAGUGAGGCCCUGGAUUUUUACUUGCUCGGAAGGAAAAAUAUUUAGAGUGAAUGAACCAAACUUCCAUUAUUUGAAUGGAAAAAUGGAAUUGGUGGGGCUUCCUCAUUUUCUGGAAAUAUAUACGAAUGAGUUAGUAAUUUAUUAUGAUUAAAGAAAGAUGGAUGAGGGUCUAUAUGUACAAAGCCCAUCAUAUUGAGACUUCCUUUGCGUGUUCUUUCAAUAUUGCAUCUUCUUUCAACUAGAAUGGACUAUUUUUUUCCCAUUCCCACCCAAGACUAAUCGUUUAUUGGUUUAUGAAAUGAUGAUACAUCACUUUAGUCAUUGAAAUCAUGAUGCGUCACUUUGAAAAUUAAAUAAGUGAUUAAAAUUAUUUGCACUUGUAAACACUCAUGUAGUCGAGUAGGGAACUAUUAUUUACUUUUCCGACAAAAGUGGUUGUCUCAUGGAAAAUUGCUUUUGUUCUAUCAUUUGGAUUUUUUUAAAUUUUUUUUUUUCAGUUGGAAAAGUACAUUCAUUCCUUAAAUCAAAAAGGCUUUACUAGAGCAAGUCAAGGAAAUUCUUAUGCAAUAUUCCAAAGUGGUCGACGGGGCAAAGACAACCAGUUGGUGGGGAGAGCCCUGUUUCAGUGAGCCCUGGCGGUCAAAUCCAUAACUUGAUUAGCCUCGCGAGGCAAUAGACAACUUUCUCUGGGCUUUCUUCUUGGCCCAUGAAGCACUCCACAAUUGUAAGGCAGUCACUAGAUAUCACAAAGGACAGGUCCCUCUCCAUGUGCAGGGCAGAUGAGACACAGUCCUUGCUCUCACGUGCUAGAUUCUCUUCCUCUGCAAGAACAGAAGGCAUUCUUUUACGGCUAAGGCUUCCAUGUUUAUUUGGUAAUGGAGUAGAAACUUGCGGUUAGUCAAUUUAUUUAAUCGGAACGAGUUCAAUAAAUUAUUGAAGGCAUCGGCUUCAAAUAAGUUCAAUGCAUCAUGAUUAUUAGAUCAUGUGGAUCUCAUGUAUGAUAUACCAAAAUUAAUUGAGGUCUCAGCUUAUUAAUUCAUGAUUUCAUGUUUCAUAAUCUUGCUUUUUUUGUACAUAGGACGAGAUCUGUCAAGGUAUGCUUUAAGCAUGUGAUACAAUUUUGUUGAAAAUUUGAAUCAUGGAAUAUAUUGCUUCAGGGACCAAACGAGGACAAUCACGUCCAGAUACAAAAAGUGUUAUUUCCUUUGCCCAAGUGCAUGCUUCUAAAAAAUGUGAAAAUCUUAUACUUAGACAUGCCCGAACGAAUCAACUUACUUUGGGACCAUACGGUGAUUGAUGUACUAAUUUAGGUAAUUCGGUCAAAUUAAGGUUCACAAUUUCGAAGAAAAGUAAGUAACUUAAUGCGUUAAUAAUCCAUCAAAAUAAUGUUGGUUGAUUAUUAAUGUAGUCGAUAGUUUUUGAAGUAUAAAUAGAUGUCGGUACUUUUUUAAAACCCGUUGAUAAGAAACUGACAUAUGAUAAGUUAAGCAAUCUUACCGAUUUUUUUUUUUUUUGGGUUCAUAACGGCAUGUGCCAUGUUAAAUUAUGUAUCAAGUUACGAAACUGACUUGUUCAAAUGAUUUUAAUAAUUCAAAUUCUGUGUGCCCUUUAAUCCAAAUCAAAUUUGUAUUUCUUGUGCGGUGGCUUCUUUGGAUAAUUGAAGGUUUGUUGUACCGUUGGAAAUAUAUCUCAAGAUCCGACCACCACGAUUGGUGUCUUCUUUCAUCUAAGUUUGACCGGUUGAUCAAGAAGUGGAUGCCUUCUUCAAUACGAAAGUCGGACAAGUAAGGGGACAGCGUAUGGGGGCCAAAUAAAGAGAGAGAAAGAAAAAUGAAGUAGGAAAAAAAUGACAACAUGACAGUCACCGACGAUGUGGAAAGAUGUACCUGCAUAAGACUUUGCUUUUGCACGGGACGCUAGCAACUCUGCGGAGGUACUAAGCAUCGCCAUCGUGGUGGCGACCGGCAGAUGUGGAAACCGAUGGCGGAGAAAAGAGAGAGGAUCGGAAAUGAAAAAAUAAAAGGAAUAUUUUCCUUUGCUUUAAAUUGAGUUUGCAUAAUUUUCGUUUAGUGUGCUACCAUGUCAGCAAUUGUGUAAAUAACGAAGCCAUUUCGGGUAAAAAAAAGACAUGACCUGGCAAUAAUAGUAGAGACACCACGUUGAACAUCAAGAAAGUAAUACUUCAUUAUAUGAAAAGAAAGUUCAGUCACUUAAUUACUUGUUGAGCAAAAAUACAAAUCCUUAUUGGGUCAUUUUCCUAAAAAGAGAAUUUUUUAUUUUACUAAAAUGUGGCACGAGCCUUAACUUUUGAUCCAAAGUGAAAGUUUCUGAAAACCUAGCAUGGUAAGGAAGAGAUAGAGUUUAAAACAAAUUAAUCGAAUUAUGAAGUCUCAUAUAGAGGGCUCAUGUGAGAUCUAUGAUCAAUGGCUGUAAUGAAUGUGAUUCACUUAAUGUGGAUCUAAGCAAGUAUUUCCUCACACUCCUCGUGACACUGCAAGAGAGGAGAAAUGAGGUUUAAAAUAAGUAAGUUCUAGCAAUUUUAGACUUAAUAAUAGAUAAGUUUAAGAAGGCACGAUGGCGUUGUAUCUAGGAACAAUAAUUUAGGUCCCCGAUUCAAGAGGCUAUUUGGUAUCGCUUCCUUGCAACAGAUUUUGCUAUGAAGAUGUGUAUUGUAGCUUUUAUAAUGUAAUUGGUGAAAACUUUACAGCCGCACCACAACUAAAGUUACCACAGUUUUAUCAAAGUUAUCUUAUUCAACUUUCAGAUGUUAUUGGGAUAAAGUACAUUUUAUUAAACAACAAAAUUGUAACACUUCACAAUACAGUAAAGUUGCAUUUCAACUACAGCUAUACCAAAUGAGAUCUGAUUCCCUUCAAACUCUCUAAUCGAGAACCUCUCCUAAAAAAAGGGGGGAAACCCAAUCUCUGUCCGAUUUUUAAGUGGAACAAAUUCCAAUUUAUGUUGAAAUGCCAGAAAAAAAAAUGUCCAAGCUAGUUUCACUUCGCUAUUGAUUAUGCAAAAUUGUUGAGGUUGAACUUGCUAUACACGAAUCAAAUCAAGGCACUCUCAGAUUACACUUCCAGCUUCUCCAUUCAUUUUGCAGUUUCAGCUUUUCCAUUCGUUUAAAGUGCGAUGGCAAUAUAGGCUCGUGAUGAGAAAUAAUAAUCUUCUGUGCGUAGUACAUGAGGAAGGGUAAUUGGAAUGCAGAUCAGCUCACAAAAGGCUCAUUCUCAUGCUCCUACCUGCUCGUGUUCAUGCGGCUCAACACACUAUAGAAGCUCGAGGCGUAAGCGGCUUCGGUCCCCGGCGGAACUGUCUGAGAAUAUUCCCCACUGGACCAGUCAUUCUGUCCCUAACCGCUCUAAAAAAAGACAACUUAAUUCUGAAAGGUUGCAGUCUAAUAAGCACUGAGAAAACAAACGGAGAGUCAGUUUCAUUCUUGGCAACUAUGGCAUAUACUCGUAAUCAUGUCUAAAGAUUGAAAAACCAAACAAUAUCAAGUGAACAUCACUAAUGUGCUUUCAAAUCGGACGAUUACUGGAAUCAAUUCACAACAGGGUCUCAGACACAUUUCAUCGAACAGAUUAUGGUCAAUCGGUUGUGGAACAGAUCAAAGCCAUUUCGAACUCGAAUUUACAACUAGACUCAACCUAAAUCAGUACAUGAUGUUCGAAGUCAAAGAAAAAAAAUUCAAAUAUGAUCAAUUUCAUCAUAAUAAGAGAAUCAGACUCUCGGCCUCUUACUCGUGACAACAGAACAGGAGAUGCUACCUGCUUAAUCAAGUGGACUGAGGCCGCGGUUUGGCGUACGAAUCGCUGAAAGAAGCUCUAGAACGUGUCGAUGAUCGAAACCUGAACAGGUGGAGAAGCUUCGAGCGGAACGACAACAUUCCGAAGCUCUCGGCCGCGGAAGGGAAACGAAGGAGAUGAGUCGCGGCAUUGAAGAGGCUGUUGAUGCCGGCGACGGCCACUGUGAUCGAUUCAGGGCGCUUGAAAUCGCCAACUGAAUCGAACGGAAUCGUUUUUUUGAGAUGAAUUUUCCUUGCUCGAUUUUUUUUUUUUUUUUUGGGUUCUGGAAUGUUGCUAUCGAUGAAAUGAACAAACGUGUUCCUCCUAAGACUGAUGGUCGACGGCGCAACCAACGAAGGAGUUGGAACUCGUAAUGAUCGGCGAUGGUAGCUAGCGGCUAUAUCGGAACUUGAGAUACCGCGACGAAAGGUUAUCCAAUGGUGACUGGAGACGAUGGAAGAUGGAGCAAUUUUCCCCUGCUUCCUCCCUUCUGCGUGCGCGAGUUAUCCCUUAGUGAAUGGCGUUUUGCUUCUUCUUCUUCAUGAUCGAACACUUCCGUUGACGUUUUUGUUGAGUUCUGACUUAUUAUACCUCUUAGAAAUACUUCUUUUACCAAAUUGCCUCCCAAUGCCAUUGCCCGUCUCCUUUUUAUAAUUCUUUGCUUGAAGGUUAAUUCAACUCUCAUAGCAAUUGCUAUACAAUUGAUUCAUAUUAUGAUUAUCUAAAAAGGUAUGAAUGAUUUGGGAAAGAGUAAAGAUAAAUAAUGUUAGGUGCACGAAGAGCCUUUUUUUUAUUUUUUAUAAGAGACUAUCCGGUAAGCUUUCCUGCAGUAACUUCAGCUAUAGAGGAUGGGUGAUGUAGCUUUUGUAAGGCGUUUGACAAAUAUUUCGCACUUAUAGCCCCUUCAAGAUUAUCACAGCUUUUUGGGAAAUUGCUUUGCCCAAUUUUGAGACGUUGGAGCUAUUGUUUACACAUGAUUUUUAAUUGAUAACUUAAGCAAAAUCGGCAAUUUAGGUGGCUUUUAUUAAAAAAAAUGAAUAAAUAAAACACAAAAUGAAAAUAAUAAUGACAUAAGAGGAACUUCAAUUCAUCAACUAAUUGGAAAGGAUAUUCAUUCAGUGUGCUAGGCGCGAUCCAAUUCAUCCAAGCCAAGCCCAUGGCCCAUCCACAUUUGUUAAGUUUAUCCAGCUUUCAUUACUCGGACCCAUAAAAGCCCAGAAACCGCACUUUCAGAUAUUCUUCGUGCAAGCUUGACCAGUAACCGCAAUCGGGAACUCCCCCUUGACAAGGUGAUUUAAUUUCCUAUCCUGUUUUGGAAAGAUGCAUAACUGAACCACGUUCAUGUAAUUCGUGAAUGUCACUGAUGAUCUAGGCUGUAAUUUGAUGAUUUGUAAUGGUUUUGAGGUUCCGACACUGAUUUUAGACGAAAACACUGCUUCAAUUUAAUGAAUAGAUUCAAUCCAUUUGGUGCACAGACUAUCUGAUGUAAUGUCUCUAUGGUACGUCAGUGAAAUAAUUCCUGAUCUAAUUCAGUCUAAUAAAAUUUCAGCACAGACUACUACUACCAACCAGUCCCGUUAGCAUUCAAAUUCAAUUCUUCUUAUACAAAUAAAUGAAGAGAUAUAAUGCUCAUGUCAUGUGGAUAACGUAUUGAACUUCGAAUGAGCUGGUGGAUUCUCGUUUGCUCUGAAGAGGACGAUCGGCUGAAAGAAGAAUAAAUAAUAAUAAUAAUUGACGAAAGAUGUAAGAAAAGAGGAAAAAAUUGAUAAAAAAAAAAAUAAUAAGAUAGGGUUGGCGUGGGCUUAGGGUUUAAUCUAUUUGUAAUAGAAAUUGGGCUUAAAGAUGGACUUGGUGCAGUUGGAGGAGAAAGUGAGCUAGAGUAGCUUCCAUGGGUAAAUGGGCUUAAAAUAGGUAUAAUCUGAAUUGGGCUUAGUAGAGUUGGAAUUGGAUGGAUUUGGAUGUAAUAGCCCGAAUUUUGCCCAUUAACCCAGAUUUGUGAGACCAGUAUGCGGCUCAUAUCCAGACCAGGCCCAAGGGCCCGGCCCGAGUCCCUAUUUUCAGAAAAUAAUUAAAAUUAAAUCUAAAAAAAAAUCGAAAAUAUGAAAAAUUGGAAAAUGGUUAGUAACAGAGACCUUGAUUAGGUCGUUAAGUUUUAGUGCUAGAUUUAGCUUAGUUUCUUCCAGUUUUAGUUACUCUACAUAUAGUUUAGAGAUUUUAAUGAGUACCUUUGAUUUAGGUGAGGUUACAUAGAAUAGUGUUUGAGAAAAGGAAUUGGACUUAAUUUGAAUUUAGCUUACGGGGUUGUUGUCUUGAGGCUUAAAAACAAAGCCAUGUGUAUUCUUCGCUCGGCACUUCAUUAGGUGUAUUUUCUUAUAUGUUACUUUUGUCGAAUUAAUCAUGAUUGUUUACUUUUCAUUUAUUGCGCACUCAUGCAUGGACACCAAUUAGUGGCAUAGGUUAAUAAAAGGGUCCAAGACUGCAUGUACACUUAGUUAACAAAUUAAUCAAGUCUAGGUACUAAAAGAGCAUUAAUUAACUAGUGUAAUCAAGUCCUUGGGUUUUAGCCCACCACAAUGGACUAGUGGCAACUUCUUUACAUAAAGUUAGUGUAUUCUUAAAAAAGCUUACCUUCAAAAGACUCCCAGCAGUGACUCUAGAAGAAUAUGUUUUUUUGUGGUCCUUAGCAGCUCAAUCCCGAAUGAAUUUGCUAGAAUUUUGAUACUAUUAUCACUUGUUGAGACGGCUAACAGAACUCCUUCCUUGUUAAAUCUAAUACAAGGUGAAGCCUGCAAAUUUAAAGAGUGAGGUAAUUAACAAAAAGUUUCAAUUAAUUCAGUCAAAAUAAAGUAACAACAAUGAAUUACCAGCAAUCCACCAUCAGCAUUGGUACUUGUAAGUAGACUAUCAUUGUUCAUAUCCCAAAAUUUGACCAUGAACUCGUCACCAGCGGCCAAAAAUCUAUUUUUGAUGAUAUCAAACUGCACAACCCCAGUAGAACUCUUUCCAAGUCCAUGAUAUGUACGCUUGAUAGCCCCCUCAGUUUCAACCCAUUCAACCAAGUAUGACUCUCCUUCUUUAUUGGUCCCACAUGAGAACAACCUAUAGCAAAUUAAAAUCGCUAAAAUGGGUUAUUUCAGUGAAAAAGAAAGACUCGGGAUGAAAUCAAGCUUGAAAUGUGAUGCUGAUGGUCUGAACCUGUCUCCAUCAGCAUUGUAUGACAUCACGGUAGAAGAGUGACCCGGUGCAUCAUAGUCAACUCUUGACCCCAUGUUGUCAUAAAGCCAAGCCUUGAUUUUCCCAUCUGUUGCUAUUGAGAAGAUGUACUACACGAUAAAACAAUUGUAUAACCAAUUUCAGUAGCAUGCCCAAAUAAAGCACAUCCACUUAAACUCGAAUUAUUAAAACGUAGCAUCCUAGAAUAAUGAGAUUUCACAAGAUAUCUUUGUAAUAAAGUGUCCACUGUGCACAACCAUAAAUGUUUUUAAAAAAUUGACAAUUGCUGCUCCACUCAGACAUAAUAAACGGCCUUCUAUUAUAAAUUUAACCAAUCAUAACCGAAGGAGGAAACUGAGGGAAAACAAAUAAUGGAAGCAGAGGAAUUUUCUUUCUGAAUAUAUAAUUAAGUAGGAAGUCAUUAUUGCAAAGACAUUUACCCAGCUGUUGAUGCUUAGUAGCAUCGCCUGAAAGAAUCAAAUUGGCAUGUUGAUCUUUGGACCAUGUCACCAUGUUUAACAAGCACAUUCUAAUCAAGACAAGUUAAAAGUCGGAAGACUUGCAAAACCCUUGAAAUGAACAAGGUCCUUUAAAACACAGAUUCAUACUCCUCAUACAAAUUGAACCAAUUUUUUUUACCUAACUAAGUUUUAGAAAACAAAAGUCUAGUGUAUAGUCAAGGGUACAACUUAUUGGCCAUGCUUGUAGUGUGUCUUCGUUAGUACGCGAAAUAAUCAAGUACCUGAAUACUUUCUUUAUGGUGUGGACACAUAGAAUAUACAGGUGCUUCAUGACCCUCGAAACAGUAUUGCUUAGCCCCAGUCACUACAUUCCAUACCUACAAAACUACUAGCUUAGUUAAAAGGGAUCAAAUAGUGGAACACUACAACACUGAGGAAAAUAAUCAGGAUAUACCUUGAUCGACUUGUCCUCUCCGCAAGUCACAACGCAUAACCAUUUGUUUGGAUAUGAAAAGGCAAGAUCAUUAACACUUCCAACAUGAGCCUCGAGCUGUAUUAAACAUUAGUUUAGAGUCAAAAUCAAGUUUUACUCACAUUUAGGUGGCAAUUGUCUGCAAAACAAAGAAGCCAAAUUUUCACUCCUUGUUUAGCAACAAACCUCAAGGUGGUUCCUUAUGUCAUCACCACCGUAAUACGAGUAUAUGUGCACCAUACAUUUGGAAUAAGCAACACCUAAAGUGAACACCCCAAAUCAUCAGUAAUAGCAGCAUAUGAACAUUCUUCUUGAAAUAUUGCAAUGAAGUCUCAUUCUCGGCACUUUAGUUGUUUCAUCAAUUUGCAAUAAGACAAGUAGAAGUCACAUCUGUACAUACCAAAAAGAAAUCCAUCAGGACUCCACGUUACACGGUUAAUGGAUGUUGUAUAGUCAUUGGCUAGAGAAGCCUGCAAAGAAUCAAAACCCACAAUCACAUGUCCAAAAACAAGAUACCAUGACUUUAUUUAGAAUGGAACUUCUAUACCUGUAGCGCCAUUGAACAUGUUCCCAGAUCCCAAACCUUGAAUUUUCUCAAAGCAAUCCUUUCACGGUUGCUUAAUUCCCAUACCGUGACAUCACCCGUAUUUGUUCCCACUAAAAUUUAUUGAUGCAAAAAAUUUGAAGAAUCAUAUCCCUUGGUUUCAAAUAGCUGAAGCUAGCAUAAAAAACAACAAAAAGCAAUCUUCCAAGCACCAAAACACAAACUUAUGGCCAACAAGUAUAUCCAACUGAAGAAAAUCAAGAAACAGUUCUUCAUAGAGUAAGAAAGAAGUGCUAACCGAGCAGUAGAAUUUGUCGCUUGGAUGGAAUCCAUACUUUUAACAAGUGAAUCUUGACUUAGGGUAAUGACUACACUUCUAGGCAAGUCAUCUGAAGAAUAAGAACUCUGACCAAAGCUUCGGUAGUUGUAUGUAAUGGGAAAAAUGUUUCCCGACAAAUUAUUCACCUAUUAGAAAGUCAUGAAAAUUACAAAACCAAUGAGUCCUUUAGAAAAUUGAUCAAAACCAUGGCACUCAAAAGAUGCAAAAACGCAUAUGAGAACCCAUCUUGUACUAGCAUACGUGAGCACACCGCAUGCAUGAUAGGAGGAGAUGUAAUCAACACCUAUCCAGUCCACGCUUCUCAUUAAUGCUGCAAAUAUUGACACAGUGUUUACAUAACAAUACCAAACACAUAAAACACAGACACAACCUAAUAUGACACAUCACGAUACAUUUAACUUGAUGAAAUAUUUACAUGUUUUCAUCUAAUUCAAUGGGUUAACAUGUCUAAUAGAAGUCACGAUGAAUUGACAUAGUCACAAACACAACUAUGACAAGUGGACAUAAAUUGACAACCCUAGCCCUUUUGCUCCUUUCUCUUUCCAUUAGACUUUUUUGUAAUCCUUCCAAUCCUCAAUUAUUUCAUUAGGUUAACAUCAUGAAAAUUAAGGGUAUCUAGAAACCUCAAAACUAAAAGUUUCUCCUUGUUGGGUGGUCUUGGGCUUAUCUCACCCUAAAAUCUAACUUAAAGGAUGAAACUUUCCCUCACAAUUAUAAACUAACUACUUUUUCCUUCCACAACUGAUGUGAGAUAACCCUUACACUUGUGAAAAUUCUCAAUGUGUGAUCAUAUGCCGCAAUAGCACAAAAAUGAGUGCACUUUCUGAAAGCUUUCGUUCAAUGGCAUGCAAAGAAAGAUAAUUAAAAAAGAGAAACACUAAAGAACAGGCAAUAUAUUCCACUUUAACUUUAUAAUUCAAAAAAACUGAAAAUCCCUACUUCCAGGAAAAAAAGACUUAAAAUAGCGAGAAUGUAACAAGUUUGAUAGAUCUAGUUACGAAUGUUGAUAAAAGCAUCCCAUGCAUAACAAAUAAUUGAUCAUUCAGUAAAAUACUUCUCUUUCUAGAUGGAACCAUCCUUUAAUAACUGAAGAACGAUAAAGAAAAAGCAAAAUGAGAUAAGUACUUCAUUUGAGAUUCUAAAAGGUUUUGAUCUCUUCAAAGGACGUUCAACUGUUGUUUGGUAGUCCAUGGCUAAGUUGUUGGCAGGAGGAGUCUUGGAACACUUUAAGAGAACUGUAUCACAAGAAAAAAGCUAAAUAAAAUGCCCAACUAACAGCUUGAACUUUUGUAAGAUACAAAAUCAAGUUUCAUGGCUUUUCUACAACAUGUUAUAGAAAGGUUUGAGAGACAUUUAAGCCAGUUAGAAAGAGUGAGUUUCUUGAGAAAGUUUAGUUAAGAAAAAUUCAACGGAUGCGGGAUUGGCAAGUAAUACCUAGAGAUAGUAUGCGAGAGUGCAAUUUUGAUAGUUUGUGAAGCUCAUCUAAACCAAGAUUGUUUGGCGAAACCAAUUGGCCAUUAUUACUAGGUGACCCUUCCAUAUUUUCCUGUGCUGAAGCUCUCAACCUUUUGAGUUCCGCCAAUAUUCCUGGGUCAUCAAGCAAUUCUAUCAUGGGAGUUCCACUAAUUUCCAGCAUCCUCAAGUUUUGUAAAUUCACAAUGCUUUUAGGUAAUUCUUCAAUGGCCGUAAAUUUCAAAUGUAACUCAAUCAAUGAUGUCAACUUUCCGAUUGAGUCUGGAAUUUGUUUCAACGAAUGGCAUCUCGAUAAUGAUAACUGUGACAAUGAUACGAGGGAGCCUAUGGAGUCUGGAAGUUGAGCAAGUUUUUGGCACUCAUUCAGGUCAAGGCGAGAUAAAGAUGUUAAAUUGCCUAUUGAGUUGGGUAUGCGGACUAAUGAUGCGCAAUAAGAGGCAUCUAGAGUCUUGAGCUCCUUCAAAGAACCAAUGGAUUCGGGUAAUUCUUCAAUGGCCGUAAAUUUCAAAUGUAACUCAAUCAAUGAUGUCAACUUUCCGAUUGAGUCUGGAAUUUGUUUCAACGAAUGGCAUCCCGAUAAUGACAACUGUGACAAGGACAUGAGGGAGCCUAUGGAGUCUGGAAGUUGAGCAAGUUUUUGGCAUUCAUUCAGGUCAAGGCAAGACAGAGAUGUUAAAUUGCCUAUUGAGUUGGGUAUAUUGGCUAACAAUGCACAAUAAGAAGCAUCUAAAGUCUCGAGCUUCUUCAAAGAACCAAUAGAUUCUGGUAAUUCUUCAAUGGCCGUAUAUUUCAAAUGCAAUUCAGUCAAUGAUGUCAAUUGUCUGAUCGAAUCUGGGAUUUGUUUCAACGAGUGACAUCCCGAUAAUAACAACCGCGGCAACAACACGAGGGAGCCUAUGGAGUCUGGAAGUUGAGUAAGUUUUUGACAUUCAUUUAGGUCAAGGCGAGACAGAAAUAUUAAAUUUUCUAUUGAGUUGGGUAUGUGGGCUAACGAUGCACAAUAAGAAGCAUCUAAAGUCUCGAGCUUCUUCAAAGAACCAAUAGAUUCUGGUAAUUCUUCAAUGGCCGUAUAUUUCAAAUGCAAUUCAGUCAAUGAUGUCAAUUGUGACACGAGUAGGGUCUUUGUUUCAACGAGUGGCAUCCCGAUAAUAACACCGCGGCAACAACACGAGGGAGCCUAUGGAGUCUGGAAGUUGAGCAAGUUUAUGGCAUUCUGUUAGGUCAAGGCAAGACAAAGAUGUUGAAUUGCCUAUUGAGUUGGGUAUGUGGGCUAACGAUGCACAAUAAGAAGCAUCUAAAGUCUCGAGCUUCUUCAAAGAACCAAUAGAUUCUGGUAAUUCUUCAAUGGCCGUAUAUUUCAAAUGCAAUUCAGUCAAUGAUGUCAAUUGUCCGAUCGAAUCUGGGAUUUGUUUCAACGAGUGGCAUCCAGAUAAUAUCAACCGCGGCAACAACACGAGGGAGCCUAUGGAGUCUGGAAGUUGAGCAAGUUUUUGGCAUUCAUUUAGGUCAAGGCGAGACAAAGAUGUUAAAUUCCCUAUUGAGUUGGGUAUGUGGGCUAAUGAUGUACAAUAAAAAGCAUCUAAAGUCUCGAGCUUCUUCAAAGAACCAAUAGAUUCUGGUAAUUCUUCAAUGGCCGAAAAUUCCAAAUGCAAUUCAGUCAAUGAUGUCAAUUGUCCGAUCGAAUCUGGGAUUUGUUUCAACGAGUCGCAUCCCGAUAAUAACAACCGCAGCAACAACAUGAGGGAGCCUAUGGAGUCUGGAAGUUGAGCAAGUUUUUGGCACCCUUUUAGGUCAAGGUGAGACAAAGAUGCUAAAUCACCCGUUGAGUUAGGUAAUUCUUCAAUUGCCGUGUUUGAUAGGUUCAAUUGAGUUAACGACAUAAGGAAGCCUAAGGAUUCUGGAAGUUGAGCUAGUAGUCUACAAUUUGAGGCAUCUAGAGUCUCUAGCUUCAUCAAACAACCUCUUGAAAUAUAAAUCUCUUGUAUAGCAGUGUGAUUUAUGAGAAGCUCCCUCAAUUCUUCCAUUCUAUCUACUCCUAGUGGUAGCUUCUUCAAUUUCCGACAUCGAUUGACGCUCAAGGAGACAAGGGUCUUGAUGUCCAAGAUAGAAUGAUGAAUCUCUUCUAGAUAUAUACAACGUUCAAGUAUCAAAAUCUCCAAGCUCUUGAAAGCGGACAAGUCAGGUGUUGUUCUCAAAGCACAAUUUGAAAGGUUGAGAACUUUGAGCUCAAUUGCCAUCUGAAUGAAAGAGAGGUUACCAAUUUGAGAUUGGAUAAACAAACAAAAAAUACCCAUGCUCCUACUCCUACACAGCUAUCUUAUUUAAUUUUAAAUGUUUCUUUUCAGUAGCGUAUUCGCUAAGCUGGCACAUAAAUGUCUUUAAGCAUAUCAUUGCAAAAAGAAUGUUAGGGAUGUAUGACUGCUAACUACAAUUAUUUGCAAAUAAAAUUUCAUAAACAAUAUCAUAUUUUGUUUUUCGAAGUCAUGGCUAUGUUGUAAAUUAUUGAUUAGAGAUAUACAAAUUUUAUUAUCGAAUUACAGAUCACUAAGACAAAUGGAAGAAAAGAGAUGCAUUCAUUUGGUGCUAUGUUUUCCUUUAAUAGUAUGAAAUUAAAGAGAAAUGGCUCCUUUAAUUAUGAUUAACAAGUUUUAAAUGCUAUAUGUACAGGAUGUAAAAAAGUGUCAUAUUAAAAAUAUUUAAAUGACAUUUCAAAGAUAAUUUAUUACUCAUGUAACAUUGCUACUUUAUGAAUGUGUUGUACAGUGAAUUCAAUAAUCAACAAUUAUAAUGAAUAUAUUGUGUGCAAUAAGUCAGAGCAGUUCACAUAUUAUUUCCAUUACUCUAAAAGUAAUAAUUAAUUUAGAAUUUUAGUAUGUAUAUAGAACACAAGUCAAUGUGAGGGAGUAUUUGUUUGUCCAUGGAAGAAGAUUGAUAACUACAUAUAACAAGAAUUGUUAAGAAGACAUACUUAUGGAUGUGGAGAGAUUAACUAGAAACCAUAUACCAUUUAGAUUGAAUAAGAUGCACGCAAAAUUGUGACUAUAUUGUUGAUAGAUGUUAAUUAAUAUAGUUAAAAGGUUUUUAUUAGUAGGUCUAAUGUUAAGCAUGAUUGUUUGUUAAAAUAUUAAGGGGAAGAAGCUUUUGGCGUAUUUAAGUGCCUACAAAUUCCUCUUAUGCUUAGAGGAAUAUCCAUGAUAUGAGAAAGGAUUUUCAAAAGAAAUAAAGGAGAACUUGGUGUAAUUGGGCCCGCCAACACACAUGAUUAUUUAUAAGUGAUAUGCCUUCUUUACAUCUUACCUUUAGUAGACCGAAUCCUCCCCAGUCCCCCGAAAUGUUACCAUACAACAGCUCGAGCACAACUAAUUUCCUCAGGUGAAAGCAGCUCAAUUCAAAAGUCAAGUCAUAACCAUUCCACACAAGCCAUCUUAAUUGAGGAAACAAGUUUUGAAAACCUCCGGUGAGAUUUUCCGCGUUCAGUUGAAGAAACCUCAAGUUGGUGAAUGCUUUAAAUGUUUCAACUGUGUGACUUUUUUCGACAUAUAAGUCAACAUGAAGGGCCUCAAUCUUACUAGUGCCCUGCAAUUAGGCAACAUUGUAAAUCAAAGUAUGGAAUAAUAGGUUGAAACCAACUAUAUAUGAGAAAAGAUAUAUUAAUUCCAAUUUUGUUGUCAUGAUACUAUGAUUAGGCUUCUCACUUUCGACUUCAUGGUAGACAAGUUCUGGUAAUUUAUGUAAAAAUGUGAAGCUCUAUAGGGUAUUCCCGAACAUUUUCAAAAAAAUUAUAGAAGGCCUCUUCAUCCACACACUACUUCAAGUGUAUCUAUCUAAUCUCGUGCCCUGUGUAUGGGAAAUAACAAAACCCUAACUCAUAUCCAUUAUAUGUUCAACAACAUGUCUAACAAUUCAAAAUUGCAAAUGCAUCUAUCAAAUUUACCGUCAAAACAUGUAUCAAUACUAAAGAAUCCCAAUUGUAGAAUCCUCCUCUUUUUCUUUUGUACCUUGUUUACAAUUCUCAACAGCAAAAUGAAGAUGAGAACUCCAUCCCAAGAAGUACUCAAGUGUUUUACAUUCCUUUCUUAUCAUGUGUUUUUUCAGUGAGUGUUUUUCAGUGUAUGUAGAAGAAAACAUAACAAAUGCUAUAUAAUGAUUCACUUCUCUUUCUAUUAUACAUAUGUUUGAUGCUAACUUUUCAUUUCGUGUUGAUUUUGUUACAAAGAAAUAACAAUCAUCUAAUUUUAUGAUCAAUUUUCCCAUAGAUUAUAAGAUCUUGCUAAUAGACAAAUUGGACAUGAAGAAUAUUAUGUUAAUAUUAUUUCUAUGCAAGCAUAUGGUUAUGAAUUGUUUAGUUUUAUUACUAAUUAUCAUUCUUAACCUAACAUAACAUUAUUUAAAUAAAAAAAACUUUACAUUCUCGAUUAAGGUAUAAUGAUUGAAAUUUCAUGAAAAAUGCCGGCACAGUUACUCUGAUUGUAUUAAUUCUGGCACUUGGAGAUUAGAAUUCUAUGCUUUAUAUUUCCUAAGUAGUUAUUGUUCACAAUAGCAUAGUCAAGUUAUUUGUUGCUUGUGUCAAGGACGUAACCCAAACAAUUUAAUAAAUUCAGAUUUUUUUCAAUGUAGAAUACCCUAUCAAUAAAUUUGAAAGCACCUCAUUCUUGGAAAAAAACUUCGUAAUGUACACUUGUGUAAGAAAAAUCUUUGAUAAACUACUAUACUUACUAAGAGAGAGCAAUUUUAUGCUUUCUAAACAUGUCAACGAAAUGACACGAGGACAAUAAUAUGAGAAGGUUUUCCACUCACUAGAGCAAGCACCAAGUGGAGGACCAACGUCACCUUGACAGUAGAACAUGGACUAAGGGAGCAAAAGAAAAGAAACGAUUACCUUAUUUCCUUCUAGCACUUCCGAGACUGCCUUAGAGUCCCAUAAUCUACUACGGUUCCAAGGCUCCAAUUUGUUUUCUUUGCAGACGAUUUCCCUACCAAGAUCUCUCAAUUGAUCAUGCAUUAUGAGCUCAUGAUUAUCUCCAACUUUUAUUAGAGACAAAAAUCUCAAUACUUCAAUUCCCUCCUCUGGGAAAAAGUCAUAUGCAUCCCACAUGUAGGAUGCGAUUCUCUUGUCAGUGCCAAUAAAAAAACAAGCGAUAUCCAAAAAAAUUUGUUUUUGUUCAUGUGUUAAUUCUUCAUAACUUAUCCUUAACUUUUUUUGCACUUCCUCGUGAGGAAAUUUUCUUAACUUCUUUAUUGUGUCUCCCCAUACUUUUUCAUUUUUUCCACACAAAAAGGAACCUAAGACCUGAAGAGAUAAGGGAAGCCCUCCUGUGGUGGAAACAACAUCAUGAGUGAGGUCCUUAAAUUCACUUGGAGGAGAGUCCCUUCGAAAAGCAUGUCUACAAAACAAAAUCAAAGAAUUAUCCUUAUUCAAUUCCUUAUGUUCAUACUGGUUGUCCACCCUAGCAUUGUCAAGAAUACUCUUGUUUCGAGUGGUAAUGAUGAUCACACUUCCUGAAGAAAACCAAUUAUGAUUUCCAGCCAAAGCCUUCAACUGAUCGUCAUUGCCCACAUCAUCGAGAAGAAUUACGACUUUCUUACCAUUAAACUUGGAUGAAAUGAACUGAAUCCCUUCAUCCUUAUUAGAAACUUGAUUUUCUAGCUUCAAUAUGUCCUUGAUUAACUGAUUUUGCAAGAACACAAGUCUUUUAUCAUCACAUUGUUCCCUCACAUCUGCAAUGAAGCUACGAUGCUCAAAUUGAUUGGAGAGCUUGUUGUAGAUGGUUUUAGCAAGAGUGGUCUUACCAAUCCCUCCCAUUCCAUGGAUGCCAACAAAUAGGGAAGCACGAGAAAUAUUAUCGAUAAAUUCCAUAACUUUUUUCACAUGAUCAUCAAUUCCGACCAAAUUCUCCGGAAUAACCAACUCAAACUUUUUCUUCAGCUCGAAUAACACUUGUUGAACAACCGAUUUUACCAAUUCUCCUUCAAGCCUGUCAAAUGUGACAAGUUCAAAUGCAUGGCAAUAGCGAUUUUAUAUUGUUUAACUAAUGAUAACACAAUAAUAAACAAAUUUAAGGAUAAAUUGGAAAACUUAAAGAUUUGUUUUUGCCACACCUCCAUAUAUUACAUUUUAAGCUAAGAUAAAGGCAGGAAAUGGGAGUGGUUGCUUCGCGUGGAGUGCCUCAUUCCAUUAUUUACUCUGACAUAAUUUAUUGAACUAGAAGAAUCUUAAGGGUAUCGUUAAUGAAUCUUGAACGUUACAUGAAUUAUGGAUUUGAAUGAAAUUUAAACUUUUUGUUUGUUAAAGAUAUUAGGGAUGAUGUGUAAAUGACAUUGAAAACUUUCUAGAGUGUUUGAAUAGGCAAAAAUCUAAUAAAUAAGCUCGAUAUGAGAAUUCAACCGUCAAUCAAUAACCAAGUCAUAACUUUUGAUGCAAGAGAAAUUCACGCCCUGAAAGUCGUUUAGAGUGCUAUAUUAUGACUACCUGAAUUUGAGGGUGCUUCUCUUAUCAGUGCAAUUCUACACGCCUGCAAAUUUCUACUCUUAUUCUGAAUUUAGUAAAACUCUAGAUUCGUGUUCUUACCAAUUUUCUUUGCAUCAAGGGAUAAUAACAGGUUGUACUUCAUUUUUCUAUCGAGUGUCUAUUUUAUAUGAUUUUAAUUAAUCAAUUUAUGCAGGUGUAUGACAUAGAAAUUAUGUGUUGAAGAUAGUAAAAUGCAUUGAAGAUGAUCUAAAGAAACACAUAAUAAAGAUAAUUUUCUUCCUUUUAAUAUUUAUAGUCAUCCUAUAUAACCAAUGGAAUAUUUCUUUUGUAAAAAUAAUUUUACUAACAACAAAUUAACGACAUUAAUGAUUUAAUUCAUGUAAAUUGGGGGGAUAAAGAAUUAUGCCUUUGAAAAUCAACAUGCAUCGUAUCUGAUUUGAUGAGCCUAAUCUUAAAAUAAAUACGUAGUUAGUAAAGUUUGUGAUGAAGAGUGAUGAAGCUUACACUAUAAACAUGAAAAAAAGGCACAAACCUUAAAAAAUUUUGGACAUAAGAGUAACAAGUCAAUUAAAAAUUCUAUAUUAUUCAAGCUAGUAGGAUGAUAACAAUAAAACCUACAAUUAGAUUUGUUGAUACCAUUAAAGUCAUUCUUGAAACAGAAUAACUUAUGGCACUCAUGCAUCGCAGGAUCUUACUGCUAGCACGAUCUUACUGCUUUUUUUCUUUAUUAAGAAAAAAAAAACUAAAAGAAAGAAAUGAAGAAAGUAGGCAUUAGAACUAGUAAACAUCCAAACAAACUACAAGAAAGUAGAGAAUGUUUUGGUGAAAAAUUUACCCAUUGGCGUCAAAUCCUUUCAAGGAACUAACUUCAUUGAGUGCUUGCUUCCAUUUCUCCAAAGUCGUUGAGUUGAAAUACUUCCUACGUGUAUGAAAUGCGUCUCCAAAACUCCCUUUUUGAUAUCGCACAUGAGAUGGUUCUACUUUGUAGAAUAUGGGCAGCACGAUAUACCCUGUGUUACUUUUCUUGCAUUCCAUUAUUUGAACCAGUUCAUCCAAACACCAUCUGCUUUGCCCAUAAUUAACAGAGAGAAUGGGGAUCAAGAUCUUACUAUUCCUGAUGGCUGCCAAAAGAUCUGGUUUGAUCUUCUUGCCUUGGCGAAGCUCGCUAUCAUCUUUGAAAACACAAAUUCCAGCAUUAACCAGCCCAUUGUAGAGAUGAUCGGUAAAGCCUUUUCGAGUAUCUUGGCCAUUAAAGUUCAAGAACACCUCAUAAUGGUUUCCAGUUGGCAUAGUUGACAGACUAGAUGCACCAUUGUUAGUUUCUGUCGGGGACGAAAUAGAUCCACCGGAAUUAGUUCCCUUUGGCGUAGGCAGUAAACCAGAUGUGGCAGUAUCAGCAUCACUUACAUUUUUAAGCACGUUAGUUUUCUUCUUCUUGAGAAAAUUGAACGCUAGGACGGAGAGAAUGAUGAGUGCCACGAGAACGGCGAAAGAAUGCCCAAAAAUGGGAUGAUGCAUUUCGUCUUUGCUCUGACUCUGCCCUUACUUUUGCUUUCAAGUCCGAUGGAGGAAAAACUAGAUGCCUCCCAGGAAACACGAAAUACCUUGUUGCCCACUACCCUUUAUUGGUUUGAAUUAUAUAAUCGAACCAGUUGACAACCUGAUUCGCACCAAUGCUUCAAACUAGUUGAGCUAUAUGUAAAUUCGUAAUUAAUUCACCGGGAACAGUAACCACGUGCUUGGAGUCGUCGUCUUCAUGUGGCGAAAAUCUCAAUGCACAAGAAAAUCCAAUGCGAUAACUGUCCAAGAAGAAGACAAUAUGCGAGGAAAUUUCAAUGCAGAAGGAAUGAAAAUAAAUAUAACCAAAGAUAAAUAGACAAGUGAUGUUAAAAUUUCAAUACACUUUUUUUUUGUCGAAAAAAUUUCAAUGCAUUAAAAAUGGUGGAUUUUUUGGGAAGAUGAAAAGUGGAGAGAGAGAGAGAGAGAGUGAGAGACUUGGUAUGAGAACGUGACAUGGACUCGCCGGAGAAAACAAAAAGUGGGGAGAAAGAGAGCAAUAAUUAUGGAGACACAACGUUGAACCAAAAUUAAGAAAUUGAAAUGCUUGAUUAAAGAAAAAAAUUCAAGUACUCAAUUACUCAUCGAGCAAAACACAAACCGUCAUCAUCCCAAAAAAAAGAAAAUAUUUUUCAAUUUCACUAACACCAUAGAACAAUCCUUUAUAUUCGACCCAAUCUAAUGAUGCAUGCAAAACUAACAUUAUAGAGAAGGGUCAAAGUUUAAUAGAAAUGAAUUCAAUCAUAUUGGUCUCGCAUAUAAGGCCAACAUGAGAUCCACAUAAUUAAAUUUUAUAAUGAAUGCAGUCCAUAUCUAGGCAAGUAUUCCUCCCCCCCGGGUGGCAUUGCAAGAGGGAAGGAUGAAGUUCGGAAUAAAUGAGUUCUAGUAGUUCCGGACUUAAUUGUAGAUAAGUUUUCAAGGGCGUGAUGAUGCUAGUGUUUAGGAAAAAUAAUUUAAGUUCCCAAUUCAAAGAGGUUAUUUGAUAUCACUUCCCUAUAGCAAAUUGCAACUUGUAUAACAUGGUGAAUACUUCAAAGCUGCAGCAAUUAAAAAUUACAAUAACUUCAAGUGUUACGACUGUAAAAUAUUUUAUCACACACAAAGAUUGCCACACUUCAAAAUACAGUACGGUUACUUUUCAAUUACAACAAUACCAAUGUAAUCAGGAUUGGAAAAAAAAUAAUUACUCAUUGAUAUUGUCUAGAGGAGAUAUAUACGUUCGCUCACAGCUGUGAUCUUCACCAAUCCUCAGCUUCAACAUUGCAUACGUAGCACUUUUAAGGGUGCGUGCUUGAACAAUGCUGAGCAACUUAGAAUUAUGCGGAAGGUGUUUUGAUUCAAAGCGAGCACGACCUUGAAUUGCCUUUUUUAUUAACAAAGAUAUAGAGAAGAAAACCAAAGGGCAAUCAUUGCACGCUCAAUUUCCGCAAUAGAGGAAGGUGCGUCGAACCAUCCUAUGUUGGUGCUUCUCGACUUGACUAUGCUUUUUUCUACUAAUAAAAGAAAUAUAAAAGACAACUAACUAGCAAUGCUCCCACGCUCCCGGUGCUAAUGGACAUGAGUCAAGCACAAAAACAUAUUAUGACAUAAAUGCUGAGUUGUCAUUCAACUGUCCAAGACACAUGCUGCUCGCAAGGAUAAUUACUGCACGCGUAAAUCCCACGGCAUUAUGGGGACGGUGCGUGUGCUUUUUGACUUGACUUUGCUUUUUCUAUGAAUGAAGAAACAGAAACGACAAUCAACAAUCAAUUCUCAUGCUUCAAGUUAGUAAGGACCGAUUGAUAAUCAGUCAAUUCUUAGUGAAUUUUGUUCUUUGAAUUUUCAAAAAAUAAAAAUAAAGAUCCAUUUGAUAACAUCAAUUAAUUUUUAUACUCCUGAAUAAAUAAAUAAAUUUAAAAAAUAAAUUUUGAAUAAAAUUAAGAAGUAGAAGAAAUUUCUUUUUAAAAUUUUUAGGAAUAAUUCUAGAAUCAAGUAAUUUUCUUUUUCUUUUUUUCCAUUUUCUUUUCUUCUUCUUCCUCCUUCAGCCCAGCAACCAGCCAAAGAUAAGGUCAGCCAUGGCAAGGCGAGCUCAGCCUUGCCGUGUGGCUUGCCUUCACUGGGCAAGCCUCAGACCUCAUCGGGGGCUGACGAGGCUCCCCGAAGCUAGGACUGACUAAAGAAGGAAGAAAGAAAAUAAAGAAAAGAAAAAUAUCAUAAAGCAAUUAAAAAUUAAAAGAAAUUCUACAGCACAACACAUUUUUGUUCUACUUCUAUUUCAGGAAUAGAAAUUCUAUGCAAUUAUCAUAUGCUUUCAAAUACUCGAAAACUUGUCAAGGAAACAAAAUAAAAAAAUUAUUUCUGAAUAGAAAUUAUUUUUAGAACAAAAUACCGUAACUAUAUUCUCCAUCACUUAAUUUCCACGGGGCAAUUAAUGCAUGUGUAAUUUCCACAGUAGUUCGUAGAAGGUGCGUGGAACCACUCUAUGCUGGCGCUUCCUAACUUGACUUUGCUUUUUUUUUCCCUAGUUAAUAAGAGAAAUAGAAAAGAAAACUAGCCAGUGUAGCAAUGCUCCCAUGCUCCCAGUGCAAAUACACACGAGUUAAUCACAACAACAUACAAGAUCAUCCCGAGAGCUUGGUACAAUAUCGCCCCAUUAGUUUAUGCAAUUUCUCAUACAAGAUCAUCUCAAAAAUCCUAACAAAUAGAUUGAAGAAUUGGCAGGGAGUUCUCAUCUUACUGGAACAAAGUGUCUUUAUCAACGGCUGACUUAUCCAGGAAAAUAUUUUAAUAGUCCAAGUGGUACUACACCAGCUCAGAAUCAGAAAUAGAAAGGGGAAGUUUCGGGCUGUACUAAAAUUGGACAUGCAAAAGGCAUACAACAUAAUUGAAUGGGACUUAUUAGAAGCUUGUACAUUAAAACUAGUUUUUCAUGCUAAAUAGGUGACCUAGGUAAUGCAAUGUCUUACCAUCAUUUCUUUUAGUAUAAACUUUAAUAGAGAAUCACUUCCUUACUUUCAACCUUCAAGAAGUCUACGACAAGGUGAUCCGCUUUUGCCACAUCUUUUUAUAUAGUGAAAAAUAUGCUCUCAGUAUUAUUGAAACAAGCUUUAGAGCAAGGCAAUAUUAAAGGCAUUCUGAACAAGCAUUGUCCUACACUAAUCCACCUUCUCUCGCAGAUGAUUCAAUCUUUUUUUCUUGGAUGGGACUAUAAAAGAAUAUCAAAACGUGGCUGAGAUUUUACAUAGCUACUGUUUCACUUCAGGCUAGGCUAUAAACUUAAACUAAUCAGAAUUAUUCUUCAGUAAAAACUGUCCUUUUACACUCAGCCAAAAUAUGCUAACUGAAUUGUGGGUCCUAAAAAUUGCUAAAACCGAGAAGUAUUUAGGAAUUCCUUCUGAUUGGGGUGAAACAAAAAAGCAAAUGAUUGCUUGGAUAUUGGCUAGAGUAAACAUGAAAUUAGAAGGGUGGAAGGAAAAACUUAAGUUCAAGGCUGGAAAAGAAGUUCUCAUCAAAGCAGUAGUGCAAGCUCUCCUACAAUAUGCAAUGCCAGAUUUUAAAGUUUCAGUUUCUAUUUGUCGAAAGUAUUGAAAAGAAAGUCACAAGCUUAUGAUGGAAUACUGAUGAAACAAAAUCUAGAAUACACCGGAAGAAGUGGCACAUUCUUAAGUAUAGGAAAGACUAUGGAGGUUUGGGAUUUCAAGAUUUAAUCGCCUUCAGCAAAGCCAUGCUCGGUAAACAAGCACGGCGUAUGAUGCAAAAUCCUUCAUCACUGUGGUGCCAAUUACUAAAAGGUCUAUAUUUCCCUCAUUCUGAAUUUUGGUCAGCUGGAAAGGGGUAUCGACCUUCAUGGGGUUAGCAAAGUCUUCUAAUGGGCAGAGACGAGAUUCUUCCUUCAGUAGGAUGGAUAGCAAGCAACGGCGAAAAGAUUAAUAUCAAAGAGACAAAAUGGCUUUGCAGAGGAGUUAUAGGAAGACCCGCAAACGAGGAUGAACCAAAAAAAGGUCUCUGAGCUUAUUCAUAGAGAUAUCCCAGCUUAGAAUGAACAACUUAUUGGGACUUUGUUCGAUGAGCAUACAGCUAAUGAAAUUCUAACAAUCCCAUUGGUUCCCAGGCAAAGGAGGAUAAAUUAUGCUGGACAAACAAAAGCACAGGAGACUAUACUCUUAAAAGUGGGUAUAAUAGAAUCAAAGAGAAGGAAGAAUAGGACAAUAACACCACAGCCUCUACCUCUCACCAAAUCCCCAGAUCUCUUUGGAGAAAGAUCUGGAAGGCUAAGACAAGCCCGAAAAUCAAUUUUUUCUUAUGGGGAUUAUGUCAAAAUGCACUGCUGACAAAAGAAAAUCGACAAAAGAGAGGUAUAGUGGAAGAAAGUACCUGCGAUUUAUGUAAAUAGAACCCGGAAACGGUAAAGCACCUCUUCUUACUUUGCCCUUGCACGCAUCAAAUUUGGAUGGAUCCUGCACUACAAAUUAAGAUCUCACCUUAUGGACUUGGUCGAAUAGAUGAAUGGCUACUUAAAUUCAAUUAUCCUCUGCAUGUUUCGGCCUCCUUGCAUCUAUCCUUUAGUGUAUUUGGAAAUAAAGAAAUUACUCUGUUUUCCGCACUAAAGCCAAAUCCGAAGCACCUUAUAAGCUCAACCAUGGCGAAAAAUUAGGGCUUCAACAGUUGGGAAACAACAAAGAAGAAAGGGAAAUGUGUAAAGGAAGCCUCACCUCAGAUCUAGUUUGGCCCAAGCGAAGACACCCUCAAAAUCAAUAUAAAUAGAACUUUCUUGUCCGGAACGACGAUGGAGCGAUAAGCUGUAUUUGCCGAAACAAUUAUGGAGAUUUGAUGGAUGAAUUUGCUGUAUCGGUAAGAGUAAACUCUGCUAUGCAAGCUGAGGCCUAAAGCAAUGGUGGAAACCCUAAAGUAACUAAACGAAGACUUUUAUCCACGAAAACUGAGUAGAAAUUUGCCUCGUGGAUCCUGCUUAUGUUGUCUCUUCACGCGGACCCACGCCGCUCCUCCUCUCCGCGUUGCUCGACCCCUACGACGGUCAGCUGCUCAGAAACCGAAGCCAACGUGUGGUCCCCACCUCGCAUCUCGGGUUUAUCUUCGGCCACUCAGAAUGUACCGAAUUGCCCCCUCAAGCUCACGGGGCGCGCGGUCCGAGCGAGUUCCCGUGUUCUCCCUGACCGAGGCGACUGGGCGGGUUGGACGUUCGGGGCAAUUUCUUUUGGCUUUUUGAAAAAGAAGGCGGGGAAUAUGAAAUGCUCCCCGGCAGUGCUAACUGAGGAGCUCCAUCUUUAGGCCUUUUUCUCUGCCGACAAAUGAGGAGCAUUACCUCUUUCAAAAUAAAAGAAAAUUUUGGUAUGCGGCCCUUUGAUAAAAAUUUAGGUUGCACUUAAAAAUAUAAUUGAUGUUCUACAUUUGAAAAUUUUUAAAUAUGUACAUUCUUUAAGUUAAAUUACAAACAUAAUUGUAUAAUUAUCUACGUGACGAUAUGUGCAUAUCUUAAAUCUUUUAAGUAAUUUUUGUUAAGUAAAAGUUUGACUAUGAGAGGUGCGAGAGUAUAGAAAGUAAAAAUUAGUAUAUGGAGCCUAAGUACACGAUUUGUGUUGGUUCAUCAUAUUUGUAAGCAUAAACUCUUUCGUAUUUGGAGACUUGUGUCUUGCUUGAUAUUUUGCAAUAGUGGAGAAUUUGUCGAUAUGCGGAUUAACAUACUUCAUCUAUGCUUUGUUGUCAAGAAAAAGCUAGAAAUCAAACCAAAUAAGUUGUUAAGAUCUAAAAUAUAUCUAGCAUUGUACUAUGAUGGCUUAAAGUAAAUGAUUGCAUUGGUAAUAGCAAGUCAAACCUUAUGCAUUAGAACUCGAUUUUCAACUUGACUCAAUUUGUUUUUUUUUUUUUUGGGCCAAUGCUGAACUUAAUUCAUUUGUGAAAAAUAAGCUGCAAGUACAUGCCCGUUUAGAUAAAACUGGAAAAUAAUUACUGAAAUUUUUUAGUACUGAAUUUCAGACCAUUUUAAGUACUUAAAAUGAAAGAAAAUGUUGUUUGAUAAUACCCCGGGCAUUACGCGGUAGGUACGGGAACCUAGAGGUGCGUGUGGCCAUUCUAUGUAAGUGUUUUUUUACUUGACUUGCUUUUUUAACUAUUAAUAAAAGAAAAAGAAAAAAAAACUAAUCAGCAAGACUCCCAUGUUGCCAGUACUAAUAUACAUGAGUUAAUCACAAAAACAUAUUAUAACAUAAAUGUCGGUAGUUGUUUAGAUAUUCGAAUAAGGACAAUUUAUUAUUUUCAAUCCAAAAUCUGCUCUCUUUUUUUUUCUUUCAAAGGAUAUUUGUCCAAAAGAGCACAUAAUACUGAGUUGCCAUCCAACAACUCAAGUCACGUGCUGCGGACAGGAUAACUAUUGCACACCAGCAUUAUGCGAAGGUACGUGUGCCUUUUGACUCUACUCGCUUUUUUUUUUUUAAUAAAGAAAUAACAUCGAAAAGCAACAAUCAAUUCCGAUUGCGUAGAUUGCGAUAAUGCUGUCUCUCUCGCGUGCUGCGGACAGGAUAAUUAUUGCACACCAGCAUCAUGCGAAGGUACGUGUGCUUUUUGACUCUUUUUUUUGUGAAUAAAGAAAUAGAACGGAAAAGCAACCAUCAAUUCCGAUUGUGCAGAUUGCGAUAAUGCGCUCUCUCUCUCUCUCUCUCUCCCUCUCCCUCUUUCUCUGUAGGAUGGAUCAUGACAUGCAUAUUGACGUAUAGUUAUGAAGAGGGGACCCAUUUUAUCAGAAAAGCAGAAGACGACCACCAAAUUCAUGUGUGUAGAGUCACUUCAUCAUUGUUUACGGUCAAUUGAAGAAACGAUGUAGGCAUCAUACGAAAUAUUAGAACCGGAUGAGUCCCUAUAUCCCAAUGAUUAUUAGAUUAUAGAGAAAAUUAAAAAAACGAUUUGAUAGUAUAUAUGGAUAGGUUUGUUUGUUAUUGCUUGGCCAAGUUGGAUAAUCACAACGUUUGCAUAAUUAAGAACUAAUUGAGUUGUCGUCUUAUGUUAGAUUUAUCUUUGUGUAAAUCUUAAAUAAUCCAAAUCUUCCGAUUGACAUACUACCAUAACGUGUGAAUAAUGAAAUCCAUAGAUUUUGAAAUUUCUACCAAAUGUGUGACGGUUUGAUCGAAAUUUGAGAUUCAUCACGCUUGACUUGACUUCUGAGUAGAAUUUGUUUUUGUUAACAUUUUUAAUUUACCACCUCAAAAUACAAAUGGAAAAAGAAAAAUGAGACAUGGUAAUAUAAUGGAUAUUGUAGUUCUCAAGGAUGACAUUUUACCAAUUACAUGUGUCCUUAUGUAAGAAAUAAAUAAGUAUAUGUACGAAACAAAGGUUAAAUAGCAAUGAUAAAACAAAUUAAAGUUUUGGGAAAGAAAAUGAAAUGCAAUUCCUUUUUCACGUCGAAAAGUGUAUAUCUUUUUUCCGACAGUGCUUGCAGUAAUCAAUGGGCGUGUUCGAUGGAUAAUUCCCUCCGUACGCUUAUGAAUGCUCGCCCACCGCUGUGACCUCCACUAAUAGUCAGCAUUUUACUCGACCUGCCUUGCCUUUACUGUCAAUGAGAUAAAUAGGAAAGAAAACCAAAGGGCAAUCACUGCCCGAGAAAAUAUUGGGUACGCCUCAUGUAUCAACGUGGCAAACAAAAAGGCGGUGGGAGCGCGACACGUGUCCUCGUGGGACCCAUAAAGUCAGGCGUCUGCUCCUCGACUCAGCGCUUCUUCCUCUCUCCUCUAACUCUCGUCUCGGCUGGUGGCUCGGCUCGGCUGGCAAAACAAAGGACGUCCUCUCCUCCUGACCUGCACGCUCUCUCUCCUGUCAGAGCAUUUAUUGCGGAAACUUUUCUCUUUCCUUCGUUUGAGAAAGAAAAUGGCCGUUCGUUCCUCUUUCCUUCUCCAUUUCUUUCCUUUCGAAUUUUUGAAUCUGAAAUCCUCUCUCCGCGCUCGUUGUUGCUCCGCCGUGCAUCAAGCGGCCGUUCUCCUGCCAUCACCGACGAACCACAUUACGGCCGCCGCUACUCCGGUGCUCACUCGCUUCUCUCUUCGGGUUCGUUGCUGCUCCGUCAUUCGUUCCGGCGUUCCCGGGAUCGCAGAUGCAGCACGCGGAGGAGAAGCAGGCCUCUUCGAGCUCCCCUCAACGUCGGCGACGUCGCCCGCCAAGCGAGACCCGCACACACGGAAGGCUCGGAGGCGAGGUUGCUGGAGAAGCUGGUGCUGAGCUGCCUUGUCGUGUUCGACGCUCCUCCGCCUCCCUCUCGCGACGUCCGCUCUGCUCUCUCUCUCUCCCCCCUCUGCGAAGUCGUGACUCUCUUCCAGCGAAACGCGACGCCGACGGCCCUCCACCUCUGCCGGUUGACUCCGUCGCCCUCGACUCCGACUCCGACUCCGACGCCGACGCCGACGCCGCCUCCUCCCCUGAACCCGACUCUGACGCCGACGCCCCUUCGCCGGUUGCCUCCGUCGGUUGGCAGGUCCACGUCGGCUCCCUCGGCUCCCUCUUCUCUCUCCCGUCGUUCCAAUUUAAACCAACGCGCGGGCGUUUAAAAAAGUGUAAAGCAUUCUCUCUCCUCUGUCUUCUCUCUCCUCUUUGCUCUCUCUUCCUCCUCCGACGCUCCUUCCGGUCUAGCGAUUCCUCCGACGACCGUCGCUCCCUCCCGACGACGGCCUUUCUCUCUCCACUCGACGGCCUCAUCUCUGGGCUCCAUUCUCUCGGCGCACUUCUUCCUAAAUCGCGCUCUCUCCCGACGGCCGAUUUCGCUCGCCUCUCUCCGUCCCCCGACUCGCAACCGAGAAGCAAUCGCUCGGCUGGUGCCGCGGUUUCUCUGUCGUUUUCCGAGAAGCCCCACUUCAAUUCCUUGCUCUGUUCGUCCAGCGAGUGCCAUGUCCGAAGACCCUUUGGGCUUUUAGAAAGUGGGUGCGUGAAAAGGCGCGGCCUUAGGAGGAGCCUGAGCAGCUUCGUGACGUCUGCCAUCGCCACGCCGAACUGGUUGCUGAGCGAGGAGGCUUUCAAGAAGUUGGGGACCGGUGGGUUCUCGGAGAGCGAGGUUGACGCGAGUGAGGAUGAGGGCGGCUUCGUGUCUGAGGGCGGCGAGGCUGAGAGUGUGAGCGAGGACGAGCUAGCUCUCUCCAAGCUGGGUUUGCCUCAGAGGCUCGUGGAAUUUGUUGAGAAACGUGGCAUUACCCAUCUCUUUCCCAUUCAAGUAUGCUUUAUCCUUUGUUUCCUUCCCCUAUGUUAUCCAAUAUUUUCGCUCUGGUAUGAAUUGCUGUUGUUUAUUGGUGGCUGAGUUUUUCUUUGUUUGAGCAUACUUAGUUGGCUGGAAAAUUAAGUAGAAAACCUUGACCUUUGUUAAUGUGCUAGGCGAACCACCGAUGGAGUUAAGUGCAGGCAAUCAUAAUACGUAUUCUGGGAUGUUCUGUCGUAGCUUACGUUAGAUGACUAUCCUAUGCUGAAAAUUGAGCUGUUAAACACUAAGAUGUUGUUGGGACUAAGGCUUUACACAGGCAGAAUUCGUUUUUUUAAUCGACUCGAUAUUUGGUUUCUUUACUUUUGCCAGCACUAGGAUAGUUCACUCAUCACUCGUUACUUUUCCCCCUUCAUUGUUCACUCUACUCAAGUUUCAUCAUGUUUUCAAUGGCAAACUCAUGUUCCUUGUACUAUUCUGUGAUUGUUAGAGAGCGGUGUUAACCCCUGUGCUUGAAGGGUGUGAUUUAAUUGCUCGUGCGAAGACUGGAACGGGGAAGACUUUAGCUUUUGGGAUUCCAUACUGAAGCGUCUUACUGAUGGUGAUGAACAUAGAAGUCCGAGGUAUUUGAGUAAUAAUUUUAAUUAUCUUGGUGACCUCCAAUGUUUGAGCAUUUUUCUAAUGACAGAUUAUACUGUAAAUGUCUCUUAGAUAUGGGCAACUUCCUAGAGUUUUGGCCUUAGCACCAACAAGGGAAUUAGCAAAACAAGUAGAGAAAGAAAUUAAGGAAUCUACACCUUACUUAAACACCGUGUGUGUUUAUGGGGGAGUUUCUUACAUUACCCAACAAAGUGUCCUUUCCCAGGGGUUCAAUGUAGUUGUCAGGACUCCUGGUCGAAUCAUUGAUUUGAUCAACAGUAACAGCCUUAAAUUGGGAGAAGUGGAAUUUUUGGUACUUGAUGAAGUUGAUCAGAUGCUUGCCGUUGGUUUUGAGGAAGAUGUGGAGGUGAUCUUGGAAAAGCUUCCCUCACAGCGACAGAGCCUGCUUUUCUUUGCCACAAUGCCUGGUUGGGUGAAGAAACUGGCGAGAAAGCACUUGAACAAUCCUUUGACAAUUGACUUGGUAAAGUUCUUCUCUCAAUAACAAUCUCUCUGUCUCCGUCUGCCCAAACUUCUUGCAUGAUCCGAUAUUGGGUAUAGGCCUGAAUUUUUGCAUAGUACAGUCGCAGAAAUGGAGGAGUGUGGCUCAUCAAAAUGUCGCGUGAUGGCUUAUGUGGUUUGCCUGUUCUUUAUUUUCUUGAUGUAGGUUGGAGAACAAGAUGAAAACUCGCAGAGGGAAUUAAAAUUUUUGCCACAUCAGCAACUCCAACUUCAAAGUGUACCAUUCUAAGUGAUCUCAUCACGGUAGGAGAUGCUUCCCUCAUAUUUGAUAUCUUUUUCCCCAAUCAAGAUGCUUAUUUGAUUCGCUAACAUUUGCAUAUGGAUGUCUCCCAUUAGGCAUAUGUCCUGAAUUUCUCUAUCAUGCUGUUUCUUAAGAUUCUUCCUGCUUAGUGGAAGAAGGCUUUGAUUUUGUUCUUGCCUACAUGCUUUAUGGUAGGCUUUAAUAGAUUGUGCUUUUACUAGAUAAAUGACCUUUUUGUAUAUCUAUCUUACGUUUAUGUGAAAGGUGGGAAGACCAUUGUUUUCACACAGACUAAAAGAGAUGCAGAUGAGGUGUCAAUGGCAUUUAUGAGUAUCAUUGCCUCUGAAGCAUUGCAUGGGGAUAUCUCUCAGCAUCAGAGGGAGAGAACUCUUAAUGGUUUCCGGCAGGGGAAGUUCACUGUUCUUGUUGCUACUGAUGUUGCAUCUCAUGGGCUGGAUAUCCCUAAUGUUGAUCUCGUAGGUUAUUUAGUUUUUUAUGUUUGUUUACCUGCACGAUUAGUUAGUCCUCUCACAAAGCUACGUGUAUAAGAUUAACAAGAGUAUGCAACUCCUAAUGCCAGGUCAUCCACUAUGAACUGCCAAAUGAUUCAGAGACUUUUGUCCAUCGGUCUGUUCGUACUGGACGCGCCGGGAAAGAAGGAAUGGCUAUCUUGAUGUAUACAAGUAGUCAAAGGCGAACUGUCAGAUCCAUUGAGUGAGGUGUAGGAUGUACAUUUGAGUUUAUUAGCCCUCCAGCAAUGCAUGAAGUUUUGGAGUCAUCCGCUGAGCAAGUUGUUGCGACCCUCAAAGUGGUUCAUCCUAAGUCUGUAGGGUUUUUCACUCCAACAGCACAAAAACUAAUUGAAGAGCAAGGUGUAAAUGCUCUAGCUGAUGCUUUGGCUCAUUUGAGUGGUUUUUCGCAACCUCCUACAUCUCGGUCUCUUACAAAUCAUGAGCAGGUAAAUUAGAGACAUCUGUGGCAAUUUUGUUAGUCAUCUGUGCUUCUAUAACCCUACUUUCUAAUAGAUUCAUUUCAAGAUUUAGGAAAAGAAGUGGUUGCUUAUUGGAGCAUGGACCAUUUAUGUUGGGAAAAUAAUUUCUGUUUCCUCUUAACAUUGAUCUUUAUUCAUUGCUGCAACUUUCAGCAUAUCCAUGGGUCAGAGAAGGAGGAAAUGCAUCAGAUAUCCCUAUUGAUAUAUCAGUUUUAAACAAUAUGAGACAAUUUGUGAAGUACGGUCGACUGAAACAAUUUGCUUUACGGGUAACAAAACUGCUCUGUAAGAUUUGUUCAAAGAGGAAAGGAUAUUAUAUCAUGUCAAUGUCUAACAAAUAUUGCUUGCAGGCACUAGCAAGCACACUCGAUGAAGAGGAACUUGCUGACCUCAAGGAUCAAUUUGCUGCAAUUGAUGUAGAUAAAAAUGGUUCUAUUAGUCUUGAAGAAAUGAAAGAGGUAUCCAUUUCUUUCUCAUUCCCCAUUCACUCUGAUGAAUAUUUUAAUUACAUCAUGAUCAUGAGUGUUGUAUGCAUGCAGGCCCUUGCUCAGGAUCUUCCCUGCAAGAUGAAGGACCACGUGUCUUAGAGAUUCUUCAAGCGGUAACUUUUAUCUUUACCUUUGUUAUGGCCUUGUUUUCUCCUUGUGUAUUAGCAAUUGAGAUUUGUUUUUCUGGUGGGUUUUGUGGAAUACCAUUUUCUGUCAGUUUCACUUUCUUCUUUUAUUGUUUUGGUGAUUCUCUUUUGUUCAUAUUCGAUGCUUGAAGUUUCCAUUUAGUUCUUGCUUCAUGUUUCAUCAUUUUGAAAACUUGCUUGUGUUGUUAGCCAAGAAAUGUUGGACUAAUUUGAGCUGCUGCCAAGCUUAUAGAUAUUGCACAAACAUGUGAGUCCUGAAUGGUGCAUAAGAAUCUCUUUUAUUUUUCCUUCAUGUAGAUCGAUAGCAACACGGAUGAGCUAAGUGGAUUUUACUGAGUUUGUUGCAGCUACUCUUCAUGUGCAUCGAAUGGAGGAACAUGACUCAGAGAAGUGGCAGCUGCGGUCACAGGCCACUUUUUGAAAUAUUUGACAUUGAUCGUGAUGGUUAUAUAACCCCAGAAGAACUUCGACUGGUAAUUUUGACUAUCUUCAUUUAUUCAUCCCUUCCACGUUCAUUUGCCCUCUAGUUCUCAUUUGUGUCACUAUGGGUAUGGGUAGAGUGAAAAUUAAAUUACGUAGACAGGGCUAAAUGUGUUUGUUUUAAUUUGUAACUGAAUUUUGACCCCGUCUCUUGGGAGCUUGAAGUUUGUUUCUUGCAAAAUUGCCCAAAAGUUGGGAUAAGUUGUCUGUCUUUUUGCAUAUUGGGCACAAAACAGUAGCAUAGCUACUUUCUGUUGCAGCUUCACAUAAAGAAACCGUUCAGCUUGUGACCUUGAUAAUUUGGUUAUUGUCUCAUCUGAAAAUACUAGCCGAAUGUAUUGCCUCUUGUUGUAUAUUCUGCUCAAAGUAGUGGCGCAGGUUUUUUAUGUUGCCUUGUACAAAGAAAUGGUUAAGCAUGUUAACGUGUAACCUUGAUAUGAUGCUCCCAUGCCCUUUUUAGCAAACAGGUUUGAAAGGCUCCCUCGGUCCUCUGCUAGAGGAAGCCAACGUCGACAAAGAUGGGAAAAUAAGUUUAUCGGAGUUCAGAAGGCUGUUAAGAACUGCAAGCAUGGGCUCUCAAAACUUGCCGAGCCCAUCUGGUUAUUGGAAUUUGAGGAAGAUAUAGAUCCAUUCUGGAGCUUUUGGGUGUUAAAAAGAGAGGAGGGAGCACGAGACGUCAAGUACGUAUUUUGGUUACUCAAGAUAUACCGACCCAACCAUGAUGACCGCCUCUGUACUCCGCUCCAUUGCCAGUGGAAAUCCCUGUACAAAAGUUAGUAUCAAGGGAUUUUGCAUGGCACCCCAAGUUAGCCGAGAAGUGCUUGAGGAUGAAGGUUUGGAGAGAUUGCUGGCUUUGGUCGUUUACUUGGUGAGAGGGAAGGGCUGUACGGGCGUACGUCUUCUAAUGAGUUGAUAUGUGUAGGCUGCGAGUGUAUAUUUAACGCCCUCGAAUUUGGGGGCCUGUUCUAUUAUAGAAUGGGCAAUGCUUUUUUACUUGUAAGGCCUUCUCUUUUCUCAAUUUUUUUGGCAUCGCAAAUGAAUUAAGUGUAAACAUUUUUCAGUCUCUCUCAGAGAUGGGCAAUGCACCUGCUUUUCCUGUGAAUUAUUUAGAGAUGUAUGCUGAGCAGCCAUUAACGAAAAUAAAUUGAUCAUAUUAUUUAGGGUGACGCUUCUUGGUUUCAAGAGCCAUUCAUCAUCGCGUUGAAUCAUGGCCAAUACAAAAGCGAAUGUAGGAGGCGAUGCGCAGAACAUAAAGAAUUCGCCUUUUUCUGCUCCGGUCAAUGAUGUUGGGAGUACCCAAAAGCAUAUGCUAGCUCACAUCUCCAUCUGUACACCGAUUCGUUACCUCUUGACGACAGCAUCUCUAGAGACUUUUUUAUCUAAUAACCACCAGGGCAUCACAAAUACACGAUGCGAAUGACUCAUGCAGGAGUACAACCUGGCUUAUGCCUCAUGGCAGGUCAAAAGUUGCAAGAUAGUUUGGAUGCAAAACAGAAGCUCCAAUCAAUUAUGUCAUGGUUGCUGGAGCUAAAUCCUUAAAAAAGUAAUGAAUGUGCCCUUCAUUGUUCAAGUUUCAGGCAUAUGCUCUGAAAUCUGUAUAAACUAAAAAAAUUCCCUGUAAGUUAAGCAAACGCAACAUAAUAUACAACUGACCAGCCUCGGGGUACAAACUACGAAAGGACUAGAAAAUGAGUUAGGCUUGUAACAGGAAAAGAAAAUUGUGGCAUUAAGAUUUUCUGGACUCAACUCUUCAUCUACUGGACUUUGGGUUGUCACUAACACUAUUGGAGGAACUAUCUGGAAAAGCCUGAGAUGACGAAAGCUUGCUUGAUGAGCUCCCAUCAGUAAAAUACUUAUCUCCUUCCUCUGGGUCUGCUUGCCCUUCUUUUCUCCGGACGUCAAGUCCUGCAUAAUAUAUACUGUUAUGCAUAUUGUGCCAAUUUACAGAGUAGAUCUAGCUCUGGUUCAGAAUAUAAAAAAAAAACCU
This 44585-nucleotide long non-coding RNA is filed under the name Eucalyptus grandis. RNAcentral's name for it is "long non-coding RNA (EGRA_LNC001411)". Lineage: Eukaryota; Viridiplantae; Streptophyta; Magnoliopsida; Myrtales; Myrtaceae. The record is from RNAcentral.